This 47202-nucleotide long non-coding RNA is filed under the name Olea europaea subsp. europaea. Lineage: Eukaryota; Viridiplantae; Streptophyta; Magnoliopsida; Lamiales; Oleaceae. The record is from RNAcentral.
CCCCGGUUAAGGAAAGAGCAUCAUUCUAGUGAAAAAAGUCACUAUAGGUACAUAAUUUAAAAUUGUAGUAAUAACUUGUAUUGUUCAAUAAUUCUAUAAUUCUUACAUCCAUAAAAAAACGACAUUCAAUGAACCACCGUAAACCCUAGCCAUAAAAUUAGAAAACAUUUACAUAUAACUAAAAUUACAACCAACAGUUCCAAAAUUUUCAUAAAUAUAAAAGAACUAAUGAAAAUAACAAAAAGAAGAAUAAAAGAUACCCAAAUUAUCCCGAGAAGCAGGUACAGGGAGCUUUAUCGACACGACCUCAUCUCUCUGAGCCUCGGCCAUUCUUAUUACUUGCAAAUCAACUACAAAAUCACCUCUCAAAGUAAAACAAUACGAAGACCAAUGCACAACAAAUUAGAAUGGGUUGUUGUGGGUAUGUCUUGGAGGCUCCCCAUCCAUGUAAAAGAAAUAAGAAAAGAAUGAAUCAGGGGUAGUUUUGAGUUUGCGUUUGAAAAUGGAUGAGGUGAUGGUCAUGUGUGGAAGGAAAAAAGCGUGUGAAAAUGAAGAUGAGGUGAUGUUGUGUGAAUGGGUGGGGGGGGGGGGGGGGGGGAAUAAAAGAAAAAAAGGAUGUUGAUGAUGAUUAGAGGUUAACACGUGUCCUCACCUCUUUUAUAUGUUAGUAGACAGAUAUCAAGAAAAUGAACGAGAAAAUAAAAGAAAAUCAAUGAAAAGAGAGAGAGAGAGAAGAAAAAAAAAAAGAGGAAGAAGACAGAAUGCAACUGAGGCUGCCGAUUUUUGAAUUAAUAACUUAGCGAAAUUGUAACACAAGUCCUCAAAUUUUGAAAAAGAAAUUAAAACGAUCCCUUAGUUUUUGAACUCUCGACGCCAAGGCAUCUCUUCUCUACCAAAACAAAACUAGAAUUGGGUACGUUUUCGUAGUCGAAUCCCCUAGAUAGUUGCAUGUCAGGUCCUUCAACCUUGAUUUUGCAUAACUUGGGCCUCAAAAAUUCAACUUUUAUAUAAGUUUUUCGCUCCAAAAAUUGCAACCAAGUCCUCCAACUUUCCAUCCUUGUGCAAUUUGGUCCCCAACUUUCAUGUUUUGUACGCUUUUGGUCCAUUUUCUUUUCUUUUUGCCUUUUUUUCCAUUGGGUGUUUAUAACCAACGAAAGCCCAAAUUAUCCAAUUAUGAGUUGAUAUCUGCUUUUUUCAUCAAUAAUAAGCAUAUUUAGACAUUAAAUAAGUGUACAAAAAUAUAUAUCACAUUGCAUUAAAUUCAAGGUAGGCUUCGAUUCCCAACGAGAUAGGGAAAAGGGCCUCGUGUCCAUCGUAGAAGAUAUGUAUGAGCAUGAGAAGGCAUUGGACGAGUUAGAGGUGGCGUAUGUUAGCUGCGGAGAAAGUAUGGCACGUUGACCAGAACUUAGGUCAAAGUUGUAACCUAUUUCCCGAGGUCAUUAAAUCCCUCCAAAUUAUUAGAGGUUGAGGUACUACUAAUGUAGGAAAAUGUUCUUCAUCUUGAAGGUCAACUAGGUCUCGUUGGUUAUCAUAGUGGCUCAAAGCGAGAGUGACUUUUCACUAGUGAAGAAAUCUAGGGACAUGAGCAUCGACAAGGUUCUUGAUAGAGAAGACAUAUACGUUAUGUCCUAGUCAUGUAUCUACCAUGACAUCUAAUAGCAAUUUCUAUAGGUGGCAUCAAUGAUGCAACAAAAAUGGUGCCUAGAGAGACUCGGUUUUGUGUUGGGAAAACACGAAAGAUGAGUAAAAUAAGACCAUCGAACAAUUUUCCGAAAAGGCUAGUGAAGAUUUGUUUCUAUUGCCCCUUCGAUCCUCAAGUCAGAAAGUUGUUGGGGGAGAAUAUAUACUUAGACUAUAAUCACAAAUAAAAUUCAGCCUGAAAAAGGCGAACGCUUGAGCACCUCCCUUACAACCAGUGAGCAGUUUUUGAGUAGUCUUUUGUAUUAUCAUCGAACCUUUCCCUCCCAAUAUCGAAUUUAGUCAAUUUAAAAUGCGUUAUAAAACUAACUCAAAUUCCACUAUUCAUUUAGAAUAGCAUUUCAAAUUUGUGUAAAAUAUGUUGCAACUUGUGGCUGAGAAUUUGGAGUAUGAGUUGUGCUGCAAUUUGACACUCAUUUGAAUUCUAAUUAGAUCCCAUUAGUCAUUGAUGAUCUUGUUAGACAUAGCUCAUUGAUGCCUUUAAGACUUAUACUAUCCAUCCAUUGAAUUUUAACUUUAAUUACAACUCUGUUACUUUAAUUUUGUCUAAGAAAUAAUCAAUUACAACUAAACACAUAACAAAUUCCCCCCUCGACAUUCCAUGAUAAAAUCGCUUAUUUCAAAGUUAAUAAUAAUAAAAUUUAAAAAAAUAAAAGAAAAAAGAACCACUAAACCACAAUCCACCCAAAGACUCAACAUAGCAACAUACAUCAAAAUGUUGUAAAAUGUCCUAGACAACGUUUUUUGAACAUUGCAAAAGGUCAUUUUUUAGUAGUGAAUGGCUCAUGCAUAAUUUUGAAUACUUAGCGAAAAUAGAAACCCAAAACUAAUAAAUAUGCAAACUUAAGGAAUUUUAAAUUCACUUAGUGGCACAACUAGACCAAUGGUUGCAAAUAUGUCUAUCCUUGUCAUAUAGUUCUCUAGUUGAGCUCAUUGGGACUUUGAAAGGCUGGCUUCUCUUGCAAGAAGUUUAUUAUUUUAAUUAAUCUCUCACUUUACCCUCCACCCUUUUUUAUUUUCAAAAGAAAGCAAACUCAUCUACUUACACAAAAGCUCAUUCGAUUCAAAAAGAUGCUUUUGUCAUUUCCUUACUUUCUUUUGACCUCCCUCCCUCACCCAUGAACGGAAAGAAAAAAGAGAACUUAUUCGUUUGCCGUCUCACCUCUUAUAUUUCUCUCAAGUUUUUCUCUCAAUUUAUCGAAGAAAAACCUACGAGAAAUUUGAUGUAAAGAAAGUGAAUUUUGAAACGAAAAGUGAUCAACUUUAAGGUCAAGCAUGGAAGUCGUAUGAUUAAAACUUCAAAUUCCAUGUGCAAUUCUCUAAAAGAGAAUUGAAUAUUUAUAUAAAUGAGGACAAAAAUAAUCAUUAUGUAAUUUUUUAGAGAUUAAGCCAUAUAUAUAUAUAUAUAUAUAUAUAUCGUUCCUCCUACACAUAGAUUUGACUAGUAUUUUUGACAAAUAAUCGUGACAUUUAGAUUAAGCAAAUCCAACGACUAAUAUCCCAUGGAUCUCAAAUGGUUAUAACUAACUCUCCCAUGAUCCUAGUGAAGUACAUACUGACCGUUGAAUUUGCUUAAUAUAAAGAUAACGAUUAUUUGUAUACAUAUAUAUAUAUAUAUAUAUAUAUAUACACAUAAGAGCUAAUUUCAAUCAAAAUGGAGAAAGGCGUCAGUCAUCAUCUUUCCUAGACUAACUUGCCCAGGAGUGCUAAGUUGGAUUGGGUCAUAUCAUUCAACAAUUGUAGUCCCUUAACAUUCAGAAGUAUGAUGGCCAACUAAGCUUCUCUUGUGAUAUCAAAAUACGUUCCUAUGCUCGGUGUCAAUACUAUCUACACCAUGACAAUAAAAUAAAAGUUCGAACCAAAUUGUAAAGAAAAUUGUGUGAAAAAUAUGAUGUAAUAUUACCUGAAUAAUUGGAAGGUUCAGUAAAUAUAAAUCAGUAUGAACAACAAUAGAGAACUCUCUGUACUUUCUUGUACAAUUCGGCCACCUUUUCUUUCUUUGUGUCACUUUCACCUUGAUACAAUAAAAGGGUCUGAGUUUCACCUCCGUCUUUUAAUGUCACCAUAGACUUCUUUAUGAGUUUAUCAUAUAGACCCAAGCCUCAUCUCCACUCAAGUGUAGGGGUUAUGCUAGCAGCACAAGGAACCAAACCAAUCACCCCAAUAUUGAAAUCAUUUUCUAAUACGUUAUUGGCAAAUAACAUAUUAGGUCCCACCCCCCAAGUUCCAUUUCUCAAUGUAAAGGCUCAUAUGCCCCCUUCCACGUAAACCCGACAUUAAUUCGUAGGAUUUAGGAUUGAGAAUAAUAUUCCGAUGGGAAAUAUCAAAUCCAACUGCCAUUAAUCACAUCGCCUUGGCCACACAUAUUGCUUUGUCCAGCUAUAAAAAAAGAUAGUUUUAUAGGCAUAGCACAUGAAGGGAGUCCAAAGUAUGAUCAUAAUUCAUGGCACUCUAUGUGAUAUCCUAAAUUUGAUGAAUUCAUAAAAAUUUGAAACUGUAAAAGAUGCAAGUUUUUUCUAUUGGAAAAAAAAGGUCAUAGAAAAAACUUGCAUCUUUUGUUAUAUUACAGUUUCAACUUUUUACGAAUUCACCCAAUUUAGACCAUUACAGAGCGUCCCUAAUUAUGAUCAUGCUUUCGACUCCGUUCACGUGCUAUGCCUAUAAAUCUAUCCUUUUUGUAGCUGGACAAAGCAAUAUGUGUGGCCGAGGCGGUGUGAUUAAUGGUAGUUGGACUGGAUAUUUCCCACCGGAAUGUCAUUCUCAAUCCUAAAUCCUACGACUUCAUGUCGAGCUUACGUGGAAGUGGACAUGUGAGCCUUUACAUUGAGAUAUCGACAAAAGAACUUGUGGGUGUGACAAAAUAUGUCGUUUGCCAAUAACGUACUAGAAAAUGAUUUCAACAUUGGGGUGAUUGAUUUGAUUUCUUGUAUUGCUAGCAUAACUCCUACAUUUGAGUGCAGAUAAGACUUGGGUCCCUAUGAUAAACUUAUAAAGAGGUCUAUGGCAACAUUGGAAGACGGAGGUGAAACCCUUACUCUUUUAUUGUAUCAAGGUGAAAGUGACACAAAGAAAGGAAAUGUGGCUGAAUUGUACAAGAAAAGUACAGAGAGUUCUCUAUUGCUCUAUUCAAACCAAGUGAUUAGAUUUGAGUGCCUAGGCAAAAGGGAUGUGUUCGAUUGCAAAUAAGGUCAAGGUUUCAUUCUAGAGAAGAUGGACUAUUCCACGUUAUUGCAAGGAUCGAAAACAAUGGCUACAAUUUGGAUCAUCAAGGUAAGUUUGUGAUAAUUUGCAUUUUCAAUGUUUCUUAUCUUUUCUCUUUGAUGCAUGUACUUAUUCGAGGUUGAAUCUUUUCAAAGAGGGAGGGAAUGAUAGAAUCCAAGGAAGGCAACUAGCUAUCAGGAGUUUGAUGUUUGCUGAGGAAAGGCUAAGGGCAACUUAAAGAUUAAUUAGAGUUAGUAAAGCUAUGCAAUCACUUGCUCAAGUUACUGAGUCCAAGAGAUUGACGUUAACAAGCCAAAGACCAAAUUUUAUGUUGAGCACGAGAGCAGAAACAAGUUGGAAUGUAUUUAAAUCAAGAACCCAAACUUAGAGACAAGAAGGAAGCCUACACGACCGCAUGAUACAAAUUGGAGACGCGAAUUUUUCAAAAUUCGUGAAAUCUCCUAAUUUAGUUAAAACUAUAUUUUGGGUAUCUUUAAUCUUUAGAAUUUGAUUUCGUUUUAACUAGAUUUAUGAAAUCUCCUAUUUUAGUUAAAACUCUAUUUUUUGGUUUUUUUUUAUUUUUAUUUUUAGCCUUAUAUUCCAUUUUAACUAGGGUUUUUACAAGUUUCCUAUAAAUAGGACUCAUUCUUUUCAUUGUAAACAAUUAACUUUUGAGAGAUAUUAUUGAGAAGCAUAAUUGCUCUCAACCUUUGUUCUUCAUUGAACUAAUUUCAAACUUAUCAAGAUUUAUUUUUUAUGGUGUUCAAACAAUCUGGUUGGGAUUCUUAAGUCCUGUGAUUACGAGGUCAAUAUAUUGUCAACAAUAGUGUUGGUUAUUUUGUUCAAUAUUUUUGGAUCAAACUCUAAACAUUGAUUCUUGGCAUUCUUGGAUUUGAAUAAGUUUUGUGUGGGUUUCGUAACAACUAUUGCUACACAGGUUCACAUCAAAAAGGUUCAAAGCCAAAAGACACCUCUCUUGAUGCCCUUUUUUUUGUUAGAGUCUGCAUUUCAUGUGUAUAUUAGUAAUUUUUUUUCGUGAGGGGGUUGUUAGAUACUAGUUAUUAUAAAAAGUUAAUUUUUAUCAAACUUUAACCAAAUACUUGUAUGGGUCCUGCUAUUCACAUAUGGCAAGUAAUGGGUUGAUCAUGUUAUACUCGUCGAAUAGAUGAAUUUGAUAUAUUUGGACGUCGAAAAUUAUUUUUGUAUGAAUGAGAAAUUACUAAAUUGAGUAGGAGUGAAAAAAUUAUGAUUUUUGAUAUAUAUAUAUGUAGGACAAUCGCUCAAGCGGUGGCUUGUGCCAAGUGAGCAGCGAGGCUCUGAAAUGAGCGCUCAAGCGGCACAGCCAACACCAAGUGAGUGACAUUCAACUUGUGCAACUUUUUGUGAAACAAAUUGAUUUUUAGGUUGUGUCUCUCUGGUUGCAACCCAUCAACCCCAAAUAAGGUAAGUAUAGAUAGGUUAACCAAUUGGUCAAAUUAGAGGCCCAAAAGAUAGUUAAAUGGGCUCACAAGUUUUUCUCUCAGUUAAUGGCCAUCCAAGGAAGUGGAUUGGGGCAUGAGCAACACUAAAAUAUUUAGGUUGCUUCAAGUGGCCCAAUAAACCUUUGGGUUGUACCAUCUUGAAUGUGGUUUUAGAUUCCCGUUCAGUCAUUUGGCUAAGCCGACUGAAAAAUAAACCGAGUUACAUCAUAGUUUGGGAUUUAUUGGGUAUCAAAAACCCAACAUCAAGGUUCAGCUCCAAGCAACCAAAGCAUGGAACACACUUCUUAAGAUUAAAAAAUAAUAUAGCACAUAUAUAACACAGUAAUUCUAACGACAAAAAAAAAAAAAAAUUGCAUCUGUUAUCAGGGGCGGAGCUAUGAAGGGUCCAGUGUGGGCAUAUGCUUGCACUGAACUUUGGCUCAUUUCAUUUCAGACUUCAAUUUUGGUUCUAGAUGCCCUCAAACUGGAAGGAAAAAACUCAUAAAAGUGAGUAAAUAAAUAACAUUGAAGAACCUUGAAGGUGAUGCAUGUAUUUAUAUGCACCAGGUUAUAUAUAUAUAUGGAGUGUGAGAGAAACUGGUUGCAGUCUUGCAGGGAAUUGAUAGAGUGAGAAGAGAAAUAGAUGAAGUGAGAGAAAGUGGGUUGAGUGUUGUGAUAGAGAGAGACUGAACUUGCAUGCAACAAAGUGGACAAAGUGAUGUAGAUAAUGAGGUGCCGUGUAUAAGUGUAUCGGUGUUUGAUGAGAGAGAGUGUGUGUUUUAUAACAAAAUAUUCCACAAAUUUUCAUUAAUUAAAUUGCUUCUUUAAUAUUUAAAUCUAACAAUUUGAUAUUAUAGAGUAGCAAUCAUAGAAAAAUUUUUGAGCUUCUGGGGUUCGUGUACAAAGGAAAAUUCUAAAGCUUCUAUAAAGUUUGUUUGAUUACAAAGAGGUAAAUUAAAUCACCACAGAAAACCUAAAAGUCCUAGACAUAAUGAAAAAGUUCAAUAACCAAAAAUUAUACCACAUGACAAAUUUACCGAGUUUUAUUUCCAAGGACAAGACUUACAAGAAGUAGUUGACGGAAGUGACACGAUACUGCUAGACUAAAUCAUGUCACUAUAAAAGUAGAUAAUCAAAGCGAGCACGGCUAUAUUUGUCAUAAAAACAACAAUCGAGAAAGAAUUGUUCGAGCAUGUAAAGGAUACGAACACAUAAAGAAAAAAAAAAUUUGCCCGCACUGAAUAAUAAUCUGAGCUCCGCCCCUACCUGUUAUUUGCUUUCAAACCACAGAAACAGAGAACGAAACCUUGAUAUACAAAAAAUGCAGUUUCACCUUUUUUAAGAAAUACUCUGCAGUAUUCGGGAAAUAUAUUUAGGUAUAGUUAAGGUACAUGGAAAAAUUAUGUGAAUCAAAAUAAAUAUGUUUGUCGCACCGGGAAAAACUUGCAAAAAUAGUCCUCUCGCCAGGAGGAAAUAUACUUACAUUGUAAUCUCCGGCAUAGUCCUGUAGAGUCCCAUCUUUCACUUCCAAUACCCAAUUAACAAUUUGCUUUAUAAAGUAUCGGUCAUGAGAAACAGUAAUAACAGUGUUUUGUACUCAUUUAUUGCUUCCUAAUGUGACGAAUAGAAUAAAUUAAGGGAGAAAAAAGGUAAAAUAAAUUAAGAAUAAUAUGAGAAAAGGGUAACAAGUGUAGAGGAGGGGAAGAGUGAAGAAAUCCCGAGCCUCAAGCAUUUCUUUUGAAGGUAUAUCCAAAUGAUUGGCUGGCUCGUUCAAAACAAGCAAAGUUGAAGGUUUGACCAUGAACUUGCAAAAUGCAAGUUGAGACUUAACCAAUGGAAAUGUUAAUUUUCUGACAAUGACUCAUUCCAUAAUAGAAAAACUAAGUUAUUGCACGUAAAACUGAUUUAAUGAAUGGGAAAUUUUGUGAAUUACAAGAUGAAUUUCUUCACGUGAAACGAUGACAGUAAACUAAGAGCAUUCAUAUCUAGUAAAACCAUGGUUCCAAAAUUAUUAUCUGUAACAGCCAAUUAGACUCAACUAAGCUUAAUUGCUCUUAAAAUUUUCAUCAUGCAAACUGAAAGUUGAAAAAUAACCAAUGGAGAAGGAAUGAAACGAACAGGAACUUUAGUGACAUAAGAUGCUUCACUUAGAGAAAUAUUUUAGUUCAAACUUUUGAAUUUGCAGCUUUUGAGGAGGGUAUAAUUUCCAAAUACCAUUUAGCAUGCAAACCGUUGAUGGAUCUAAAAAGCGACAUUAUUAAUAUGGAAAAGAAAAUGAGAAAUGAUACUCUGUAAAGAGGAAUGUGAAAAGGGAAUUGGUAUGUUAAAGCAAAUUCCUUAAUUCAAAAGUUAUAGCAAAAUAAAAAUAAAUUUGAAGAUUACAUUUACAUUUGACGUCGCUAUUGAAGAAUCAUGAAUAAGCCUAAUAUAACCAAAUAUGAAUUUCAGAUGAAGAAUACCCAUAUAUGAUGAUACAUUGGAUGCUAAUAUAACCCUGGUAACCCGUGGUUAAGACUGCAAUGCAUCGCAUGAUAUCUGCAUGUUCUAUUAUCAAGUCAUAUUGAGUAAUAAUGGAACUAACAAUUUGUAAAGUACAGCUCUAAUUACUGCAAUGAAUUAUUCAUGUUCAUAACUGGACAUAUAUCUGAAAUUUUAACAAAAAUUAUGGGCAUAGAUGUUAAGGUGGGCCGAACUCCACAAGUACUAAGUGUAGCAUCAAUAAGGCCAUUAGAAAAUAUUCAAUAAAUAAUGUAACUUCAGCAAAAAUAACUAAAUCAAAAAGCCAGCAUGCCACAGGUCGCACAACAUUAGGCUUCCGAUAAAGUAAAAAAAAAAAAUGAAUGCUUUCAUUAAGAAUGUUGAUAUCAAGGUUGCUGUUGAAAUCCAGCAUAACGGAAAGGUGAUUGUGCUACCACAGUACCCAAUGUAUCUCCAUCGUAAGAUAUCUUCAAUGCACCGAUAGUAACAAAAAAUUAAUAAAUAUACUCAACAUUUAACAUACUUGAAAGUCUCCAACCAAAAGAACUCCAAAACUCCCAAGUUUCUGAAUUUCACUUGUGCUGGACAAAAAUACAUGAUGACACAAAUCGGCCAAAAAAAAAAAAAAAAGGAAAUAUCAUAUGAUUUACAAUCAUAUUUAACUAUGUUUCUACUACCGAAUAGGAAUAUGAUACAAGUACAAAUCAUAUAAAUUAUUUAGUUGAAUAGGGUGUUGAAGGUUUAAAAAAACUUUAAAAAACCACAACACGAAUAUAUAAAUAUUUUAGAAGAAUAUUGCAACAUUGUUGAUUAAUUAGAAUCCAUUUAUAUGUGUCACUAGUUCAGAUGAUUAUUGUGUUUAAUCUAGUGAAGAGAAUGUAUUUUUGGAUGAUGGUAACCAUUAAUGUUACUAAAACAUGAGAUUCUGCAAUUUUUACUAAAGGCUUCAUAAGAGCCAAUAUUGUGUAAAAUUGAAAGACAAAGUUUUAUCAAUUUAAAAUAGAUAGUGACACUUUUAUCAAUUGACGGUGCAAUUAUAAAUCAAUUUGCUAAUUUUUAAACGUCAGAUCAAUAAUAUCAUUUUCCCUGUAUAUGUAUAUAUGUAUAUGACAAGUGUUAUUUAUCCACUUAUUUAGUGUCCUAAAUGAUGAUAUUUUUGUUAUGCUUUGGAUGCAUUAGUGCCUAAUUUGUUGUUUAUUACUUUUAUUAAGCAAAACUUAUGCUUGGACGAAGAUUGCGAGAAAGAAUGGAAAAGGGCUAAAAUGAAGGAAAUCUAAAGUUUUGGGACUAAAUUGCAAAUAUUAAAAGUCAAGUCGGAUUCACAAUGAAGAUUCGAGAGUAUUAGCAGUCAAUUGGAUGAGGAAAUAAGUCAUAAUCAAAGUAUUGUCACACAUCAACUUUUACCUGAAAAAGUUAUACUUCGAAUUUUCAGUUUUAGUUUGAGACCCAUGGUCGGCAUUGCAAACGUUUGAACUGAAAAAUUUGUAUUGUAGGAAAACUUGUAGCCUUUUGAGUUAUAUUUUCAAUGCACAUUGAAUAUUUUUAUUUAUUUUAAUUCAAGACUAUAGUUCAGUAUUCCUGAUUUUUCUUGAUUAGUUUUGCAUCACGUCAUAAUUAUUUGAUUGCUUAUCUUGCCUAUUGUAGUGUAGAAGUACUCACAAUGAGUUUAAAAUACAACAAAACUAACAUGUGUAAUUAAAUUAGGAAUAAUCUCUUUCGUACAUGAAAUCACUUAGAUAACCUGGACUAAAUGCAUGAUUUUCAUAUGAAUUUAAACUAGGAAUAGGAUAGGGUCCUGUUAAUCAUACGUUUGUGUGUCUUGGAAGAGAGCAUUUAACAUAUGAGCGUUAUUGAUUGUUAACAAUGCAAGCAUUUACUGGAUUAUUAGUCAAGAGUCGAAAUAAUUGUCAAUAUGGGGAUAUAUGAUUCCAAUACAACCAUUUAUACAUUACAGAACCACAUUUUAACUAAUUUAUUAUAAUAGACUUAGCAUAGAAACAAAACCUAUGUUUUAAUUUUACUACCCUUCGGAUUUAAUAAUAACUAUUGAGCUUAAAUUAGACCUUAUUACUUGUGGGAACGUUACUUUUUGUAUGGUCCUGAUAUUCUUAAGUUGGUUGAUAUAGCCCAUUUAAGAAACGAAUUAUGGAAGCUCAGCCUAGUUAAGGUUAUAAAAGCCUAAGCAAUAAGUUAUUUAAAAGUUGUAAUACCCCAGACUUAAUUUUACAUGCUUGAUUUAGCCAAUAUGAUUCAUUCAUUACUUGCUAUUUACGUUGCCAUUGCAUUUGCAUUAAUAGUUCGAAAUAGUUUUCUCUUAUUAUGGUGCAUUUGAUCAUUGAAGUUUUAUGAUUUCUAUAUGGUAUUAGUCUCCGACCCCUGACCUAGGUUGCGAAUCUUACAUUGAGCUAUAUUAGAAAUUUAGGUUAAUCUAGAUGUUAGAUAUUAAUGUGUUAAAAAAUUAGAAUCCUGAAAGUGUCGAAGUCAUUAUUGGUAGAGUUUGUGCUUUUAAUUCAGUUAAUCAUGUUACCCUAAACCCUAGUUAAGUCUUUUACAUUUAUGGGACAUGAGGCAUGAAGUGACAUGAUCAAAACACAAUUGAAAUUGUUUGAAAAUCAAGUGUCAAUCAGGUAAGUAAUUGAGUCAAGGAAGGUACUCGAUAAAACAUAUUAUGUUCUUAGGGUUGUAAAGACAUUAAAAUAGGUCAAGGACACUUGAUUUGUACCUACAAAAAUAGAUGGAAAAUUAGACAUUCACAACAACAUAACACCUUAUGCUCGUUGAUUCGUCGUUAUAAUGGUUAAUUCAUUUAUUCCUAAGCAUCAAUCAAGUCUAAAAUCUUGAUUUGGUGUUCGGCAAAAGGGAAUGAUUUUUUGCUGUAAAUCGAUUAUGUGUGAUGAAUUAAUAACAUAUUUACAUGUACAUAUAUGCUAUCUAAGUGUGAUAAAAUUUUAAGAAGGAAUGAAUGUGAUUAAGGGUGUGAAAAGACGGAUGAAACGAGACAUGGCAGCAAGUAAAACCCAAAACAGAUUUUGUCCAAUUUGGUAGUUUGCAUAGUUUCAACAUUUAAAUGUGCAAUAAUCAUUUCUAAGGCUACAAGAAUUAUUUUUAAUAAGUGUUAGGUCAUUAGAGACAAUUUGAUGACAUUGACAUUCAUGAUUAGACUAGGAAAAAAAUGGAAUUUAUGGGAUUGUUUUGAAGUACAAUUGGUAACUUGAAGUAAUAACAUUAUUUGAACUAUUUUGGCAUUGAUGUUCAUAAUAAAGAGUUGUGUGUGUGCUAGGGUUAUCGAAUUGUGGAUCAUGUUUAAUUCUAGAUGGUAAUACUUGUAGUCUUCUGACAUUAGGUGAAAAGGGGACUUGACCUAUACCAGUAGAAAGAUCACAAACAAAGAUGAAAACGUAAAUAAAUAUCCAUUUUCAAUUAUGAUGCAAGAACAUAAUAUUCGUAAAAUAUUCUCUCUAUAGAAUAUUGUUGCAACAUUUAUAUGAUCUUGAUAAAGAGAUUAUAGCAUACCAUAUGAUGGUUAUGAUGAUUGAGCGUGUGGCUCUAAAGUAUAUUGAUUGAGCAUGCCAUUCAUUAACAUCUGUACAUAUGUGCGCGUAUGUCCAUUGUUAAAAAUCUAGCAUGCAUGACAUGAUUAUAAAAAAUGAAUUUAUAUUAUAAAAUAUUUUAUUGACCACUACUAUGGCAUCAAGGCAUAUUAGAUAUGCCAAAAAAAUUACGAAUGUUGUAAAUGAGCAAUAGAGGAUUAUUAAUCUUAGAUAAUAAGACAUUAGGAUCUACGUUUCAUCUCUUAUGUUGAUAUCGAAAUUCUUGGCCAAUGCGAGUUCAAAAGUCGAAAAAAGUGUCAACAAUUUAGCUUAAGAGUGCGAUGAAAUAUAUAAUCAAUUAUAGAGAUUGAUACAUCUCUGUAUUUCAUAAUUGAUUGGGUUAUAUUGACGAAAAGAUUACAAUCGAGGACGACAAAUGUGAAUUAAUUAGAUUAAUUAAUGAUAAAUUGAAAUGAUAGUUUCAAUUUAUCUUAUUUUGGACCAAAAUAAUAAUUUACCCCGUUUGACAUCGUGAUUGAAAAUCUACUGUGUUAAAUACAAAAGGCGAGAACUAGAAUAAUGAAAUUAUGUUUAUAUAAUUGACAAGUGUGGGAUACUUGUAAAAUUAAUUAAUUGAGUUGUUUAUUAAUGAGCUUAAGUUAUUAAUAAAGUUAAGUUAAUUAAUUAGAUUAAUUAACUUAUAGGCUAAAGUUUAAUUAAUUAGAUUAAUUAAUUAAAGUUUAGUAGGUGUGUCAAGCCCACUUAACAUCUAUUGAUAAACAAUGGAAAAAGUCAUAAAUGCCUUAUUAAUAUAAACUAUUCUAUUUUAUGCUGCUCAAUUGUUUAAUUAACCUAAAUCACUGCAAAACCCCAAUAAAAUCCCGCAUUACUAUAUAUGAAACUUCCCCUUAUUGGAUGCAUAACUGAAAAGUUCCCGGAGUCCUAUAUGCUGAACAUAUGGAGAUUCAAAAUUCAAAGAGCAAAUGAUUAUUAUGAUGCAAUUAACAUUACGGAUUACUCAUAAUCGCCCAUUGUGAAAGAAUUGUUGCGGUAAUAUCUUCCUGUGUGUGCAAUCGGAACUUUGAUUCAUCAGAAUUAUCUUCCACUCGUUUCUUUUAUAGAGAUUACAGGUAAUCAUAACAUAUCCGAACCUAACCUAAGCUACUGCAACACUAAAUUUACUUCAUCCCUGUUUUAACAUUCUAAUUUUUCGGGUAGUUUGGAAUUGAAUCAGGUUUUGUCACGUCUAUAAAUUUCAAUAUUGUUGUACUCGGUACUAUGAGUUGCAUUUGUAUGAUAGUGCCACAAAUAUCAAUGAAUGCAGCUUAAUAUACACAUAAUACAGCUGAUGUUAUUAAUCUCUGAGUAGCUUAUACUAACAUGACCAGGGAAUUUAUACAUGAUUUUCUAUUGAGGGCAAGGAAUCUGCAUUUGAAUACGUGGAAAUAGUCUUCUAGGUUCAGGUUUGAACUGGAAUGAUUUUCCUUUGAGUUGGGUUUCUUUGAAGGAAAUUCUUGAGUCAUCACUUUUUGAUAAAGUGGAAUUGUUUUCUAGUAUUUCUCUUCAUGAUCAGAACCUGCUCUUUGAUUGUACCAAUCACGUUCUAUAGGACAUUUGAAAGACUUAUUUAGGAAGCUUCAUGGGGAUAUCAUUUUUUUAAAUAGAAUGCUUGCCCAAUCCCAACGGUUAUGACUCUUAUCCAUGAAGUAUGGGGAAAAGGUCAAAUCAUCUCUCUUUCAGCAUCCACCACCACGGCCUCUGAAUCAGCUUAUCAAGAAGGAUAUGAGAAACAUGAAAAAUGGAUAUGCCUCCAGUAAGAUAUCGAGCAUAUUGGUACAGAAUUGGGAGUGAUGAUUUUCAAUGAAUUUGUCGAGGACACCAUGUCGAGUGUUGCAAGUGAUACUUCAAUAUAUGAAUUCACUGUGCUUCGAAUCUAAUCCGAGGAUAUUGAAGAUAUUAACUUGUAAGCUUGACCAUCCAUGUCUCACAAAGUUCUCUAGUUUUCAUUCGUUUUUCACAUACGAUAUGUCUGGUAAGGCAUAUUAAUUAGUAUCGAAAGAAAUUAAAAUUAUAUUUAUUGCCACGUCCAACACAAUCUAAUACUUCAUGCCAAAAUGCACUUGAGCUUUGAUUAAAAAUUAAGACGAUAUACUUCGACAUUCUCCAAUGAAAUCUCAUGGAUAUAAUUUAGGAUUUCUAAAGUACAGAUGACUCUAGCAUGUGUAUUCCAAUAGCAGAAGUGACACAUAAAGGAUCAUUGUCAAAACAUAGCCGUCUACAAUGGACUCUCCAAAAGAAGAAAAAUUAUCAGUUUUUGCUUCUUGUAUCUAACCAAAGAAAGGUAGAGACAAGCUUGUUGGUGAAGAAUUUUCAGGGUUGUGUGUUUUGUACCCAUAUUGUUUGUGAUUGUCUUUUGUUUUAAAUCCUUGUUUUCUCAUAGAUUUGAUUUGUAAUUAGAGUCAAGAAAUUUCACUAGAGAUGAGUGGUAAGUGAAACAUUGUAUAGAAGAAUCCAAAGUAAAUCCUUUUGGGGAUAUUAUGUACUAAGAGUGUCUAUCAUUUACCUCAACUUAGACUCUUUACUUUUGACAGAGCUUUUGUUUAUAUGAUGAUGUAUUAAAUUUCGUUACAUUCAUAUUUCACCCAUUGUAUUGUGUCGUAGUGCCUACCAAAGAUACCCUCGUAACAAAAUGAACAAAGAAAAUAACAUUUCAUAAUUUCGUAUGAUGUACAAUAUUUGUUCCGUAAUCAGUAUCCAAGUAGCACUUUGGAGUUAUCAAAGCAAGGCAUAGAUUUUGGAGUUUCUACAAUGUACUAAGAUUACAGAGCCAAGGCCCAAGCCAAAACUAAAACCAUCUUGAAACAAGAGAAAGUAACACUAUAGCGAAGUUCUUUGUGGUCAAAUAGCUUAAUGGACUGUGUGCUAUAAGUUAAUAGCAUUCUCCAGAGCCAUUUUUUGACAAUUCCUUUGAACUGCUAAGAUCCCUCGACUGCUCUAAGUGGACGGUGGAAAAAUAACAUUUGUGGGGUAAAAAUUGGAGUGCGAUGAGAGUCCUGCAAGGAAAAUUUUUAAACCCCAUCAGUACUUCCUCGCCCUGUACGCCUACCCAUUUAUGCUUUUCUUUCUAUUGUAGAGUUGAAUUCCUAUUUAGUGGUCUCUGCUAGUAAUUAAGCACACUCCUGUGCAUAUGCACAAAUCCAGAGUUUGAAUUAGAGAUGUAAAGUACCUUCACACAAAGUAAACUUAAACCACAUUUCUUGUGUUAAUGCUCUAGUUCAUUAUGUCAAUUUUCACCAAGUAAAAUAUCAUGAAUUAAUUGUUCAAUUUGCUUAACAACAUGAAUCAUAGAAGUUCCCUAGCACUUGUAUUUUCUAUUUCCCUGUCGUUAUUAAAAUCUCCAUUGUUGUGCAUGCCAAAAAUAUUGCAUUUGGGAAAAAGAGUAAGAAAAAAAAAACCAAGUUCUACUCAUAAUUAAAAACUAUUUCUUCAACAUUAUCAGAGAAACCCCAAAGUUGGUGCUACUUUAAUCGAAAAUCAUUUACAUUUUAUUCAAUAUGCCACAAAAAGAAAAAAAAAUACAACCCAACAAACGCUAAAGAAACUUAAUAUAUAUUUAAACACCCACACAAGUGCAUAUAUAGGGAAAUACUUGUCUGAGGGUUGUGAAAUUAAGGAGAAUUUGAGUGAUGAGUUCCAAGAGCUAUAUUUUGGGUUGGGCUUCUUUCUUGAUGGUGAGAAUCUUGACUACGAUUUCCUCAAUCGAAGACUUACUCUCUCGGAACAUGUCGUAGAGUGCCAACGCUGUGCCUAUCUUGCGCUCCAGCAGUAUUUCACCAGGUUCUGCCAUUGUCACUUCCACUUCAAAGUCAUUCACGUUGUUUAUCUUUCUCUAGGUUGUGUGGACGAAGAGAAAAUGUCUAGGUCGAAAAACCGUGAGAAGAGACGGACAAGAGUGAAUGAGUGAAUAGAUAACAGUUCUGGCCGGUGCUAAUGGGCUAAGUAAAUAGUAAUCAAAUGCAGUUUGUCUAUAAUGCAAACCACUUUUAGUGUGAAAACAAUAACACAGAUGAAUAGUUAAAAGGGGAUUUUUUAUCUUUUUCCAAAUUUUUUAAGUAGGCAAAUCGGGUGGGGUUUUUGUCGAUUUUUAUAGAUCUACCAUAACCUCACCUAUAGAAGGCAAAAAGGGGUUGGGGGGACCCAAAAUAAAAUUCUAAGCAAAAAUUGUACCAGGUUGCGAUAAACCUCCAACAACUAAAAUAUAAUCGGUCGUUGAAUGUCACCUGUAACAACUACUAAAUAAAUAGUCGUUAAAUGUCGAGUUUUCCUUUAUUUUCAACAACGAGAUAAAAUUAGUUAUUGUUUUACUAUAUUAACGACCAAACAUUAUGGUCGUCGAAUAUUUACUAUAUUAUCCGUGUUUUUAACAACCAAUUUUGUUGUCGUUGAAUAUGAACAAAUAUUUUGGCGGGAAUUUUUUAUUUGGCGCCCACUCACAACAACCAAUUUUAAUUUGGUCAUUGAAGAUAUAGAUUUAACAACUAUUUUUUCGGUCGUUAUAGAAUAUUUCCAACCAAUUUAAAAUUUGAUUCUUCGUCAUCCAAUUUCUACGAUGAAACGUAUAAUUUGGUCGUUGAAAAUAAUUUAUAACGACCAGAUUGAUUUGGCUGUUAAAACAUUAGUUGUUAAAUAUCAUUUUUGUUGUAGUGAACCAAAUUUAUACUAAAAUUGAGUUUGGUAAUUAAAGCGAAACAUUUUGAAAGUUUGGACCAAGUACUCAGUUUUCAACCCUCAUUUCAAGCAAAUUAUAUUUUUACACAACUCAUUUAUCAAACAAAGAAACAAAAAACUGCAAAUAAAAAACAAUGUUUGGCUUCAUUAAUGAAAACUGUAAUAAUCUCACUGUAAAUUCUUAGAAUUAUAUUUCCCUUUUAUCGAUCCGGAGUCCAGUAAGCCACCGUUACCCAUUUUCCAUUGAUCAAUUGAUAUAAUCCAUCUUGCCUUACGCUCCAAAAGCACCCACGUUUAGCACAUUCCUUACAAUCUUUAUGAACAUCAAUAUCAAUACCUAAAUCGUAAUAAAUAUUUACGACAUACAUUUGGGCGGAAAUACGGGGAUUUCGGUUCCCUGAGUCAGCACUGAACCGGGCAACACCUCCAUGUGGCGAUAAUUUAAUCUCUGGAAUCAAAUGGCCUUGAACAUUGCAGUUGAGAGAUAGUGUAUUUUCUAAAUCGUUAAUGAUGUUUAUAUUAAUUUUUUGUGAAUAUACUGUCGGGUUGCAUGCUAUGAGAAACAGGAGAAGUGUAGGCAAUUGAAAUUUGAAGAAAUUCAUGUUUGCUUUAAAGUAUAUUAUAAUGGGACUCAUGGAUUUCCCUAAACAAGCUAUAUAUAGGAUUUGUGGUAACGUCCAAUAUAUUUUAUUAUAGUCUUAUUUAUUGAUGCUAUAAAUUGACUUGGUACAGUUAUAAUCUUAUCCAUGCUUCAUAUGACACUAUUAUUUUGGGAUUUGUGUUAUACCAUUUGUUGUAUUGUGCAAUCUUAUAUACUCAUUUAUAAAUUUUAUUUGUGAUAUUGUUUUAAUAUUACAUUAGAGGUACUCCUGGACAAGUGAUUUUUAAUAGUGGGUUUAUGAUGUGUAAUCUUUAUCUUGUUCUCGUGGCUAUGCCUAUACUGUUUAUUGGGGAACUAAAGGUACUCCGUACUCACAACUUCGAAGCUUAUAGGUCAUAAGAUUUGUGUAUUGUAAUAAUUUUAUUAAGGCAUGGAGCUUUUGGCUUUUUUUUUUUUUUGGAGUAUGGACCACAUUACCUUCCUUAACGGAUCAUGGCACUUGUGUAGAUUGAUAGAUAUGGAUUGCCCAACUUUAAAUGUUUGCAGUUUAGCCCUCAUUUACUUUCGUUUUAUUGGGAAUAGUAUUCCUUCCAUACUGCUUUCUUAUUGCCUUAACUACAUAUAUUACAUUGUUACUUUAUGGAGGUCAAGUAUAUGUCCCCUCCUUUCCUGUACUCUCGUCUUUUUAGUGAUGCAUACAUUUGAUACAUACAUGGUUAACGAAGAGAGAUAUAAAAAAUAAUAAUAAAAAAUAAUAAAUAAAAAAAAUUAUAAAAAUUGUAUCAAAUGUGUCAAUAUAGGGUAUGCAAUAUUGUAUAAUUUUAUCUAAUAAUGACAUAAACUCAAUAAAUGAUAUUACUAUAAUUCUAUUAGUUUCUUAACAUAUUUCCCCAAUGAUAAUGCAUAUUUAUGAUUUGUGAUUUUGCAAAGAAUUAUAUGUUAUCAAUUUCUAACAAUUUCUUGCCACGUUGUAAAAAAGUAAGAAAGCCUUUUAGGAAUUUCAAAUUUAUAACAAUAUAAAAAAUUAAAUUUUGAUUAAAAAUAAUUGAAUUGUGGGUAUUUUGAUGAGCAAAAUUUAGAUAUAAUAUAAAAAUAUUUGAAAAUUCAUUUUUGUUAUUGUGAACACUGCAACAAAAACAUCAUUUUGCAACAUGCAAGAGGCAACAUUCUUUAAUUGCAUUUUACUAUAAAGGGAUCUAUCGCAACAUAUGAUAAGUUUAUGUUGCCAUUUGUUAAUACAAUUAAAAUUGGACAGCAGUAUUUUAAUGCAUGCUAUUAAUGUUGCAUCUUGCAACGUUUAUUGAAAGUUUCAAAAACUUUCAUUUUUCCAAUGCCUUUUUACAACAUUAAUUGAAUGUUGAGAAAAGUUUCAUGUUUUACUACGUUUUUUACCAUUAAUAAAAACUGAUUCUAUUCCAAUGUUCAAUGCCUGUUGCCAAAACUAUUAAAAUGUUACUUUUUAUAAUGUUCAUAGACCAUUGCAGAAAUACACUCUUUAGCAAUGUCUCGUACCAUUGUUAUUAGUCCGAACCAAAUUUCAAAUAAAAUCCAACACAAAGGGUAUUAGCAAAAAAAUCCCUAUCAUUUGAACUCAUUGUAGAAAUAGUCUCUAUUGUUUCAAACUUGACAUUUACACCCUCAUUUCAAACCUUUAUUUCUGAAUUGGUCCUUUUCGUCAACCUUCAUUAAAUCCUCACGCGAAAUAUGGGUAAUGGCAUAAAACAUCCAUUUGGAUUGCCUUCAUUGCGUAAAUCAUCCUUAUCUUUUCAAUCUUGACAUCUAAGUGCUCUGAUCGACAUUUCUUUGAGUAAAAGGUUCUUGCCAUCUAUUUUUUUCCAUUAAAACAUUAUAAAAUUACUAAUUUACCCUACUCUUUAAAGAAACAAAUAGAAAAGAAAAAAAUAAUAUAAAAAAAUUAAAUUUAGAGUUUCAAGUUUAUAAAAAUCUAUAUACUAGUCUCAAAUAAAAUAAUUUAAAAUAUUCUAACGAAAGAAAAAUAUUUUAUCUUCCAAAUUAACCCACCCUUCUCUAUCCCUACCCCUACCUGCCAUCACCUCCUCCUCCUCCACCACCACCAAAAUAAUUAAAAAGAGAAUUAAAAUUUUUUAAAAAGUAAGAAAAUAAAAAAGAUGGUGCUUCUUCCUCAUCAUUUGUAUUGUUGACCUCCAAAAAUGGCCAACAAGCAUAGUUAGAAAAUAGUGUACACGUGGAUAUAUUUCACGGUAUGUGAAAUGUUGAUAGUAUACUUGUAGAAGGAGAUGAACAGUAAGCAAUGGAAGUCAACUGCGCACGUCACAUCAGUAGUCAACUCUAAAGACGUGGUUGCCUGACCCUCUUCUGGUUGUAAAGGACUUUGGAUACUCAGGCAACUCGACAUCAAAAGGUAAACCACCUCAGAAAGAAGGAUAGGGCUAUUUCGGUUGUUCUCAGUAUAACAACUUCGGCUCUUGGUGUGACAGCUUCAGAUGUUGAUAGCUUUUGCAUACUUGCCACGUGUCCAAAUAUGAGGAUCCCCACGUGGGUCAUUUCAUAUGAUUAGUAACAAUAGUCCCCUGAGUCUAUGUACAGUCAUUCAUGGGGUACAUAGAAUUUACAAUCUCUUUAUCAGCUUCGGACAAGGAAAGAAAUUCAUAAUGCCAAUCCCCCUAGUUCAAUUGUUUACUUAUUCUCAAGAAUCUGCCAAAUAUCUACGCCAAUGACCAUCAGGUCAGGGGCCGAGGCAUAUGUGCCUUGUACAUAUAAGUGGCCUUUGAUCUACGUAUAUGGAGAGCCAAAGUUAUAAAUGCCCAAGUUGCUCAAAUUUGAAAUCCGAGGUGGUUUGUACUAUUGCUGAAGUGGUUAGAGUGUCAACCAAAGUUACGUGCUACGUCAGAUGGUUUGGGUAGUUUGAACAUCUUUCAUCAUUUAUUACCACAGAUUGCUAUACUGUCGUUUGGCCUUCCCAAGGAGGGGCAAUGCUCUCAAUUUUCAACGUAUCCCACAUGUAUUGAUCUAGACCUUGAAGCUAAAAUAUUAGUUUCAUCGAAUGGUCUAUAAGUGACCCAAAUUUGGACGAUCCAGAUCUUUGAGAUCGGACGGUUAAAAAUGCAUGUAUUUCCCUAUAAAAGGCUCAUUCUCGAACAUUGAUUUGCUGGUCUAACUUGCUUUGUCUGGUUUCUUCGCAAUAUGACCAAAAAUCAUACUUGUAGUUGGUGGAUUUUGAGGAGAGUUUAUGUGAGGAUUUGCUUGAUUUUCGAUAAUGCUAUGGAGAGUACAAAUUGGGUGGUCCUUGGGUACGGUGUAUAGGACGCUUGGAUCCGUAAAAAUGGAAAUACAGUCUCAGCAUAAUCUUCUUUAAAUGCACUGGGAACAGUGCUAAAGUGUGGAGGGUCGCCCAUUGCCUUAAAUACAUUAUGUUGCAAUAGGGUGCGAAUACCAUCCGAAGUGCCUUAGGUCGCACUAUGUGGAUCCACAAGGGUUGGUACCAACGCGCCUCCCUUAGGCAGCUAGGCUAUCUCCUCGCUAGUAUUUACUAGUCAGAGUGCAUUGUAGCCAUGGCUUUGAGUUUCAACAUGGUCCAGUAGACCUCACGAUUGUAAAGGUUGCAGUAUAUAUCAAACGUCCUUGAAAGGGGGUUCAGGGAUUUAUGUGUCUGGUUUAAUGAUUAUACUUUAUCAUUGUUGAUCAUUUUUCAUUGUUUUUGCAAGCACUUUGUAGUGCUUUGUAAGUAGCUGGUUGCCCUUGAUUGUAAUGUGUUUGUAGUAAUGAAUAAAAUAUUUAUCUUAUUAUGCUAAUAUGUUUUCAAACUAGACUUAAAAUCGUUAUUGCUUCGUUGUUGGUGUAUUUUGAGAGGGUUGCACCCUUCUAGCAGUCCUCCUUUGUUUCUUAUCCUUUUAUAGGUGACUUUUGUGCCUUUUCACGGAGGUCGGCCAUAUAGCGUCGAACCCUUCGCUUUAUUCUGCCCUUAGUGCUGGCUUUUAUUUAUGAGAUGAACCUCUUUGAGUUCCAACCUCCUUUAUCAAGGUGUCAUCUCUUGGGUUGAACCUCAUUGACGUUUGCUAUUGGGCUCACAUUUAGAAGUGCCUCUAUGGGCUAAUGCCCUUUCGUGGCUACUUUAUUCUAUUCCUUCAAAGAAAUUGACUCGAAAAAUGCCAUGCAUUUUACUAAGGGCUUUGGCAGCUUCUUCUUAAUAGCAUGGAGUAGGCCAUGUCAUGUUACUUGCCCAGAAAUAGUAUAAAAUGACACGUAUACUGGCACUGGUAAGAACGGUGUAAAGGGUCGUGAAAUAUGCUACCUUACGUUACAUGCAAGUUAUCAGCAAUUCAAAUGUUGAUAUUAAAACAACGAGGAACUAAAAGAGAGACAACUUAACAACUUAAUAAACAUUUGCAUCACUAUCUAUAGUAGAUGUUGCCUAAAGUUUUUGUUGAAAGAGUGAGAUUGUGUGCCGAAGCUAUCUACUUUAAAUACAUUAUAAAGGAAGUUGAGGCCUUCAUUUUUCGAAGCCUUUUGGCUUGUGUGCGUAUCUUUUGAUUUUGAGAUGUUCUGUUGAAGGCUCUUGCAUAGUCCUCCUUUCCAGGGUGUCCGUGUAUUUUGGGGUUGGUUCCAUGUGGGGUCUUCCCUUGUCAUUUUUUGUAUUUGGCGCCUUGGCCGAUGUGGUUUCAUCUUUACCUCUUCUUUGAAUAGACUACUUUUACAUGGCUCGAUUUGAGGCUAUACAUAGGGUAGGGCGAUACCCUCUCUGACCCAUUCUGAUUCUCGUAUUUGGAUGGGACUGAAGUUUUUAGCCUCAAAAUAGGAAGGUCGGCCUUUACCUUUUGAGCCCAAGCUCCCUCGAAUUAUAUAAUUCUAUGAGGCUUAUGCCUAGCUGUUUUGACUGAGGAGGACAGCAAAUCGUUCUUUUUUAGCCACUACUGUUGAGGGGUAAUCUCCUACUAGCUGAUGUUAUUGGUCUUGUCUCGGCAAUUAUAUGCCUUAGCACCUCUUUCCACAAGAGGAGCUAAUCCAAGGUGACCAAAAUCGACGCUCAUUUUUUCAGACGAGGCCUUCGUCUUUCUCGUGAGGGUAAUUCUCAAGACUUCCAUCUCCUGUCUAUAUCCUUUGUUUGGGAUGGAGAAGAUAGCGAAACACUUUUCUGCAGGGUUUAUGUCCUUAGUUCACCGACUUGCUGCGAAGGUCGAAUCAUGUCGACCAGGGUUGUGAAGUCCGACGUGGAAGUUAUAAGUCUUAGCACCUCUUUCUGCGAGAGGACUUCGCUUGUGGCUACCAAUUGCUUUGUUUUUCAUGGGGACGUUUCCUUGGGCUUAUGCCUUUUCUUCUCGCGUGAUCAAUCUUGGUUUGUCCACAUUCGAGCUAGUGUAGCUCGUCUUUCACGUUUAUCCCUAGGCAAGGGAUGCAUGUAUCUAUAGGUAAACUCAUUUGUGGUUCUCAGUUAAGGUUGUCCAUCCUGAUAUUUCUCUAACAAAGAGUUGAAUAGAUAUGGUUGGUUCAAGGAGAUAGAAAGGUACCUGGCUAGAGCGGGUGAAAUGGAGGGGUCGAUCCUGUCUGUUUCUUAUAGGACCAAACAUGUCGAAGACACUGGCCUAUCUUAUUGACACGUUAGCUCUAUUGCAUUCCAAAGGAACGCAAUCUCCUCGGUUGUUUGGUCCGUGAUACUUACCUCUAUUUCUAGUGGAACGAUCUCCUUGUCUUGUGAGAUGUUAGCCAGUAGACCUUGCAUGCACUCCAGUAGUUUUUGUAUUGCAGCGUUUUGUCGAGAGAUGGUCCUCACCUUAACGAUGACAGCUGCCAACUCUCUGGUGAGCCUUACUGCUAGCCUGGGCCUACGCCUCGAGCCACUUCUUUGAUGCAGACCGUGAGGGGGAUUGGCAGCGGCUCCUGAAUUAUUGGGGCACUCUGCAAGGAUGUCUCCUGGCCAACGCGUUCUUUAGCCUGUCCUGGUGCGAUUUCUUUCUUUGUCGGAAUCAUGGCUGUCCCUUCUUGAUGGAUAGCCUUUCUUUGGCUCCAUUCUUGGAGUUAUUUUCCUUUAUUCAAGGAUUUUUUUCUUGAUCUUUUUGAAAACUCAGAUUUCAUUACCUUUUCUAUGGGAUUCUCAUGGUUUAGCUAUUCCAAGGUUUCCCACAGACGGCGCCAAUCUGUUGACCUCCGAAAAUGGCCACCAGGUGCCGUUAGAAGAUAGUGUACACGUGGAUAUAAUUCACGGUAUGUAAACUAUUGAUAUUAUAUUUGUAGAAAGAGAUGAACAGUAAGCAAUGGAAGUAUAUUGUAUUCUCUUGUCUAUAUUCCUAAGAUCCCUUUAACUGAUACAAGAAUUACUUAUUUAUAGUGACUAGGCCGACGUGGUUAUCGUUGGAUUGGAUCCAUGUGGCCUGAUUUGUCGACCAUAUGUGUCACAUCAAGUCUAAUCCACAUUAUUUACAUUGAUAGGCUUUUGACAAGAGAUCAGCCACUCUUGACUCUACAAACUUAGGCUGACGUCCUUGGCACUUAUUAACUGUGCAUGUCACAUCAGCUCACAUCAGUAGUCAAUUCUGAAGACAUGCUUGCCUGAUCCUCUUCUGGUUGUAAAUAACUUCGGAUACUUAGAGAGCUCGACAGUAGAAGGUAAACCCCCUCAGGUAGAAUGAUAGGGCUAUUUCGGCUGUUCUCAAUUAAACAACUACGGCACUCAAUGUGACAGCUUAGAAUGUUGAUCCCUUUUACAUGCUUGCCACGUGUCCAAAUAAACAUAUUGUUCAAAUGCAUGGUUGAACAUGUUCAUGUAAUUGAUGUCAUCUUCAUUUAUUUGAAAACCAUGAUUCUAGAUAUGUUUCAGAUUUGGUUCAACCGAUCAAAUGGACGUACCAACAUUUUCACCACCUAAAUCAUUCAACAUUUCAAUCAUAUCAUCCUCAUCCUCAGAGUCAUUUUCAACAACUUCAGUACGGCUACUCUCUAAUCUUAAAGUGUGAGUCUCACAUAAUGACUUACCAUGGAAACUCCAGUCUUGAUAAGAUAUAUGAAAUCCAUAUCUGAACAGGUGGUGCUUGACCACAUUGAGGUCCAAAAAUGUUGUAUUACCACAAUUUUGACAAGGACAUUGAAUAGUGGAUGUACCAUUAGAAAUAUUAUCACGUGCAAAAGCUAGAAAGUUCCUCAACCCCUCUUGAUAUCUCUAAUCCAAUCUAUUUUUCAAGAAAUCCAACUAUAAUCCGUGUUGAAUAAUCUGUGUGGUUGACAACAUCUGAACACACAAACAAAUUUAAAACUGUCAUAAAAACAAACUAACUUUAUGGAAAAAAUAAAAAAUAACGAUUGAUUUAAAUGAAGAUUUUAAGUUGAAUGUGUAGAUGGGAAGAGUGGAUGCGGUACACACACUUAACAUCAUAAAUUCAUAUAGCGUACAACUAAUUACUGAUUUGAGAAAACCAUAUUUAAUAAUCAUAAAAUUCUCCAAAUUAGUUUGGAGAGCUUACCUUAACAAGAGACUGAGAAAGAUCCUGAAUUAAUCAUCAAAGUUUCGUCCUGAAGCAAAAACUUGCAAAAUCCUUAUUACACGGAAAAAAAAGGUUCAAUAUCUGUGAAUUAUGCAAUACAAAAUGAAUAAGGAAAGUGAAAAAUAAAAAAUAAAAAUAAAAAUCUAUACACUGGAGGUAUAGGCAGCAACUACAGCUGUAAAGCGAAAGUUCUAAUUAGCCAAUUUAUUUAUUUAGACCCAAUGUAUGAAAAUAAGUAAUUAAGAAGCAACAAGUCACUUUUAAUUGUUUCUAUGUGAUUAAUCAAUCAAGUUCAAUUACCCUAUGGUUCGAAUGCUAUAAUCAAUAAUUAAACCAAUACAAAAUACCAAAGAUGAUCACAGAGAAACUCUAAGUGGAUGAAAACUCCAGACACUUUGCCAGUUAAUAAUUCACUAUAAAUCCCAAACUUACAGACGGACUAGACCCAUCUAUCCCAUAGAACUUGACCUCAAUUCCGAUAGUCUCCCUUGAUUUUCUAGAGGUGUACUCCUUCAAAAUAAAUUCUGACUCCACCGUUGCCCUCCUGGACUGUGUGUUCCUAAUUCCACAUCCUAACUUCUGGUACCUCAUCUUAGUCCUAUUGAAUUUGUGCUUUUGCAAUAGUUCCCGAUCUCUGGUAUUGAUAUAACUUCGAUGGAUUAUGUGGUUUGGUGUUUGAUCAAAUGACCUUCUGUGUAUGAAACAAUAUGGCUUGAUCAACAAAAUAUGUUUUGGAGGAAUUUAUGAAUCAAGUAAUAUAUGAAAGAUGAAUCUUGGAAUCAAUGAAUGUUUUGGAUCAUCAAAAAAUUGAUCUCUAUGGAAUAAAUACGAUUCAACAAACUUUUUGACAUCUCAUAGUGUGUAUAUUUAUAAUGUGUAAUUUUGGAAUGAAAAGAAACCGAAAAUCGGUUUCAAAAUUGAGUAUUAAUGUUUUUCGGAUAACCACGUCGCUCUAGCACAAGCGAACAAUAGCUGAACAAUUGUCAUUAUUUUCAUCAAUAUUGGAUUGAGGUGAUUCAAGAUGUGUUAGAUAGCUGACACGAAGACUGCAAUUCUUCUAGACACGGCAUUCUUUGAAUUCGAAUGAUUUCUAUAUGAAAAAUGCAUUGAAAGUUGCGACUAAAAAUUUAGAACAUAACUUGUGUAGUUCUUUGAUGCCCUUUAGACUUCUAAUUGCAUUUCCUUGAUCAUAUGGGAUAUUCUUGGACAUCGUUGAUGUCUUGACGUCCUUUAGGAACUAUACUAUGAAUCGUUAACUAUUUUGACUUUGAUUAUAACCCCUAAUACAAUUUAGCUAUGACUUGAUUUUGUCUUAGGAAAUUGCCAAUUACAAUUUGGACUUAAUAAUCUCUCCCUUUGGUAUUCCUUGACAAAAUCAUUUAUUUCAGAGACAAAAGUCCACUACAAUCUCCCUAAUAGAUACUUUCCAAACUACAUUUCAACAACUUGUCAACUUGUUUUUCUUAAACACAUGGAAACCACGAUACCACGCGAAAAGCAAGAGAAAACUAUCAAAAUAAAAAUCAUAUAACUAAGUUAAAUAAAAUAUAUAAUAAAACAUGUGUAACACCAAAACAAAUAUAUCAAAUGAAAUUCCAGGAAAAAAUAAAUCAAAUGACUCCUUCUAAGUCAUCUAUUAAUAAAAAAAAUUCAAAUUUUUAAAAUUCUCCCCCUAACUCAUAUAAUCAACUCUAUGAAAUAAAUAAACAUCUCCCCCCUUUUUUGUCAUGAAUAAUAGAGGAAAGACAAGUAAUAAUCAUGUAAAACAUAGAGAGGAGUGAGCAAAAAAUAUGCACAUGUAUAAUGAUGCAAAAUUUAUGCAAAAACAUGUGAUAGGAGAAUGAAAAUUUUCCAAUUUUGAGAACAAGUUUUUUUUUUUUAAAAAUAAAAAUCGUGAAUUUUCAUCUUCAAUAAUUAUUUACUUACUUAUACCUGCAUAAUUCAUAAAAGGUAAACUUUUUUCACAUAAUUUGUUUUAAACCUAAAUGGAGUAAAUUAUAUAAACUACGCUUGGAAAAAGUCUCACUAGACUCCUAGGAGUAAGCAAAUCUCAAAUCAAUGAGCAAGGACAUGCAAAAAAUCAUAGGUAAAUUAAAUAUUUUCCUCAAAGAAUGAAAUCAAACCUAGUGCAAGUAGGACCUUUUAAAUAAAAUACUCAUAAUGAUUUUUCAAUGUAUAACUUUUCUGUCUACCCCUAUCAAUAAGCACAUAUAAUUUUUUUCUUCUCAUUUUUCUUAUAUAUCUUAUGUACAAUCACUUCUCCAUUAAGUGACUAAGAUGACCCCCGUAAUGAGUUUUAGGCCAAUAACUCUAAGUCAAUUGACCAUAGGGCAUUAAGUCAUGAGAAACCGCUCAUGCUUAAUUUCUCUAGUCAAAUAGGCUCCGAAGAAGAGUACAAGAUAAAUCUCAGUUUUUCAUAUAUUUCAAAAUUUUUGAAUCUCAGCCAUCUAUUUCUUUUAAGGAAAAUAUACUAGAGCUCUAUGUCAAUCUAGUUAAAGGUCAUUCCAUGUUCAAAGUCAGUUCACCACAGAAAUGAUCACGAUCCCAAAUCUCAAACAUGUGAUCAAAACCUGCAUACAAGAGUCUAAUGUGUGCAAAGCAAAAGACACAUGUAACAUAUACCAAGUACUCCAAACAAAUUCUAGACAAAUUAAUGGAAAUUUAGUUUAGUAAUCAUGAAACUUACUAGUACUUGAUAACAAAAUAACAUGUCCAAUAAAAAAAAUCUCUCUUUUUUAUUUUUAUUUUUAUAAUAAAACAAACAUGCAAAAAGAAAACUCCUAAUAAACAAUAAGUAAAUGUGCAUGCAUUAAUAUAUAGAUAUCAUGAAAAAUGAAAAUGCAUGCAUAUGAGUGUCUAAUCAAGAAGGCACACAAGGGCACUUACCAUGAAGAGCAACAUGAGAAAAUAUAAUUAUCAACAUCACUUAGAUUUGUGAGUUCACUCUUCUUGACUAAAUUUUCUUAGAAGAUGUAAUCUGAGUCAAUCGAGUUAUCAAUUUAGUCAAGUGACUCACCUGAUCAAUCAAGAAACUAACGUGAGUAGUUAGAUUUUGAUCGUUGUACCCAACCAAGGACUUAGGACAAUUAGAUCUAAUGUGACCUAAAACACCACAAUUAUAACACGUGGGAGCAAAUUUAGGAAGAAUCUUAGGUUUCAUAAUUUGAACCUUAGGUGGAGAAAAUCUAUAGGGUACAUAUCUGAUUUCGAUCUUCAGACACCAACAUUCUUGGUCUUGCUCCAAUUCAAGAGCUCAUGGCACUUAGGUCUUAUGUAUCUUACCAUGUCACAAUGGUGACACGUGAGGAUGAACCUAGAAGCAACUUUAGUUUCAAGUUUUGAACCUUAAUCUUUGAGGCAAGUACAAAAUUAUUGUUAAUAGCAUGAGAAUUUGUUUCAUUAUCAUCUAAAUCUCCUCUAUUCUCAUCUAUUUUUUCCAGACAUAUCGUGUUAUCAAUUUUCUUAGAUCUACUAGAGAAUGAUUGAGGUUGGGCAUUUGAUUUUUCAAGCUCAUUUAUAAGAGUUUCAACACUAAUUUCUAAGGACUCUUUCUGAACCCUUAAUUCAUUCAAUUCUUUGGAAGACUCCUCAAGUUUAAUUACAACCCCCUCAUUUUAUAAUUCAAGUUUAUUCAGUUUCUUAAAAAAUUGAUCUAUUAACCUUAUGUAACCUGAGACUCUCCUUAUACAACUAGUCAUAAGCCUCAUGAAUAUUCAUAUCAUCCUAAGAUCCUACAGCAGAAUGUGAUUGACUCAUCUAGACAAUUUUUUUAGCCAAGUAUCAUAAUUAAGCUCCAAUGCCACUUGAAGUUACUAAUUAGUCAAUUUAUAUAGAUCCAAGGUGCGGAAAUAAGCAAUUAACAAGAAAUAAGUCACUUUUAAUUGUUUCUAGGCAAUUAUUCAAUCAAGUUCAAUUACCAUAUGGUUUGAUUACCACAACCAAUAAUUAAAGUAGUAAAGAACACCAAAGAUGAUCAUGGAUAAACCCCAACGGGAUACAAACUCCGAACACUUUGUCAAUCAAUAAUAUAUUGCAAAUCGAAGCAAUCUUACUGUGCAAACCAGACCCACCUAUCUCAUAGAACUUCUGACAUCAACUCCUACAGUCUUCCUUGAUCUCAAUGGAAGUGUGCUUUUUUCAAAACAAAUUCCAACUCCAUAUUUAUACCUUAGCCGUCCUGGAUUGUGUGUUCCUAACCCAAAUGUCAACUUCUGGUACCUCGCCUUAGUCUUAUUCAAUUUGUGCUUCUGUAACAAUUCCUGAUCCAUGGUAUUGAUCUAUCUCUAGUGGAUAGGUGGCUUGGGGUUUGAUCAAAUUAUCUUCAGUGUUUUGAUCUUGUGGUUUAAUAUGAAACAAUAUGGCUUGAUCAAUAAAUUAUGUUUUGGAAAAAUGUAUGAAUCAAGUAAUAUGUGGUGGUUGAAUCUUGGAAUCAACGAAUGUUUUAGAUCAUCAAAGAAUUGAUCUCUAUAGAAUAAAUCUGAUUCAACAUACUUUUAGACGUCUUAGAGGGUAUAUAUUUAUUAUGGAUAGUGUUUGGGAUGAAAAAUAACUCAAAAUCACCUAACUUAUUAUUAAUUUUUUUUUUCAAUAGGAUUAUUUUGUCUAUAACUAUUUAAAAAAAAGAAGAAGAAGAAGAAGAAGAAGAAGAUAGAAUUCGUUACCUGGCUGACCUGACAAAACGAACUGUUCUAGUAUUUCUGUACAUGGAAUUCUCACCACAAAUACUAGCUAUAUUUAGAAUAUAAUCAUUUUACUCUAUGUGGUUUUAUUUUUUUGUCAAUUUGAUAGUUGAGGGACUAAAAUGAAAUAGGCUUUAAAUUCUUACUUUAUUUAGGCCAAAUAAUUAAGUACCAAUAUAACAAGUAUUGGACUCUUUUUGUAGCUUAUAAUUAAUUAGAACUCUUCAACUCGAGAAAAAAUUAAUUCAAAUAAGUUACACUCAAGAUAUUAGUUUAAAGAAAUUGUGAUUUAUAAGUUUUUAAAUAAAUUGAAAUGCUCCAUUCACUGUCAUUAAUUGGGUCUAGAAUAAUAAUUUCCAUUGGAGAACCCCAAGUCUCCUUGUUGCAAUGAAAUUCAAUUAAAAUACUAGGUUGUAAGUCCUAUAAAUACUCCCAUAAGUCAAGAGAAUUUUCACUAGAAGGAUAUUAUACUACACGGCCAGGAGAAAUCCAAAUGCUACAAAGAAAGAAUCCAACAAUAUCACCAUAUAAUAUAUUUUAUUCAUACACAAGGCAGAUAGAGCAAAAGAAAACGGUUUUCAUGUGCAUUAUUUUAUGGUCCAUUAUAACUUUUCAAAUCCAUCAAGGUAAGAUACUUUUGUACAAGUUGUUUGCUUCUGUAUAAUUUUAUGUAUUCAAUUAAACAUGCAUGAAUUUCCAUUGAACCUUUGGGUUUGAUCUAACGAAAUAUGAAUUCUUUUAGUUUCUUAUAAUGAAAUGAUCCUUCGAAAAUUCAAAGUACUACUGAUGGGUGUGUCACUUGGUUAUCAAUAUACUCCAUAAAAAUGUAAUAUGAAGUGUUUAUUUUAUUUUUAUAUAAUCGUUUAUGGAAAUUGCAUAUAUCUUGCUGUAUAUUUUUAAAUACUUACUCUUGUAAUAAUCUUAUACGUUAGUUCGGGUUGAUUAUUCGUGACAGGAAGGUGAAGUGGACUGCCAGUAGAUUGAAGGAAAAUAAACAUUAAGUUUUUUGUCAUUCUAUUUUUUAACUAGUUUAAUUCAUUCGAAGGCAUGUUAUUUAAUUAAUUAGAUGAUCUUUUUUUCUCAUUAUUAAUUUUUUUUUUUUUGAAGAUACAAUUUUCAUAAUUUAAUUUAAAUUUAUGAAUGUUCUAGUUAUUUUCUUAAAAGAAAUUUAUUUUUAUCGUUCUGCAUUUAAUACCAAGAAAAUUGAGUUUUUGUAACACUUCCAGAUUUAUGAAAAUUUUGGGUGUUAUAUCAACACCUUUAACAACUAUCAUUCCAUCAACAGAAUUAGCAGAAUUGUACCUGUGUGAAAUUUUAUGGCAAAAAAUGGGUCUAUUUCUAGUAAAUGAAUAUGAUGACACCGUUGAUAAUGGUGGCAUGACGGAUUUAUCCAUGUCUUCAAAAUUCAACUGAAAUGUAUUCUUAUAAGAAAAAUCCGAGUUAGACUCCAAAUAUGGGCUCAUUGGAUAACCUUCAGGUUCUCCACCUUUAACAGUGUAUCAGUACCCCUUUUGGAUCAAGAGUACUUAAAGAGAUAAAAUAUCUCUUUAGAUCUGGAACGUGUCUCUCUGCAUCAAGUAUUAUAGCCGUCCCAUCAAACAUCUUUAUUCCAACCCGACAGGUAUAUUAGUUUUGGUCUCACAACACCUUUUGUAACUUCUUCAUAUGUUGAAAACAAUUUCUAAUUGGAUGACAUAUGAAUGGUGCAAUUUGUACCAUAGAUUCAAGCCUCGUUGGAUUGGGAGUUGUAGUUAGAAAAAAGUAAAAGUUCUUCAUCACUACUGGGAUUCUUUGCAAUACUUGCUUCUCCUAAAGUUUCUAACUGUAGAUUUUCAAUUGACAUUGAUUUAUUUUGCAAUUUAUAACAAUCGUUUAACAAUUGCCCAUUUUUCUUGCAAUAAUUAAAAAAAAUUAUUUAGAUUUUUAUUUGCCCCUCGAAGGACCACCAUAAACACUAAGACCAUCUUCGUGAUCCCCAAAUGCUACAUCUUCUCUUUUGAAUAUAAAGCAUCAUAGACUUCUGCGAUGACAAGAAUAUCAUGACUAGUAUCUGUCUCUAAAAGAAAUGUAUGAGAUGGGCAAUGAACACAACAAAAUCAUUCCCAAGUCUUCUUCAUCAUAUUUGAUCUCCAAUGCCUCCAAAAUAGUGAUGAUUUCUUUAAAAGUAGCUAGGUGAUCCUCAAGAGAUAUAUCUUAUAUCGUAGGAUGAGAAUGUAGAAGUUACUUUAGAUGCAAUUUGCUAGUUUGACUUUUCGUCAUGCAUAACUGUUCCAAUCUUAAGCAUGAUGCAUCAACUGAAUUUUCCUUCAAAACGUCAUGAAGAAUAUUAUUUCAAAGAUGAAGAUGCACUUGAGAUAGGUCCUUUAGAUCCCUUUGUUGUUUUCUCCUCUGCUAUGAUUUAUGUUGUAUUAGCAAUUUUGCAGACAAAAUUAAGUCCUAGUUAAAUUGAGUUAAGAGUUUUAUCGAAUUGUUAUCAAAGUCAUAGGAAUUAUUAUCCUAAUUACAGUCAAAAGAGUUGGGAUUGGUGUAUAGUCGUUGAAAGUGUCCAAGACGUCCAAGAAGAUCAUAUGUAAUCAAUGGAAUGCAAUUAGAAGUCUAAAGAAUGUUAAAUAGCUGCAGAAGUUAUAUUUUAAAUUCUCAGUCGUAACUUUCGACGCAUUUUUCACAUAGAAAAUAUUGUAAUUUGGACAAGACUAUUUCUAAAAAGAUCGUAGCCCUUUAAGUUAGCAACUACUCACUUGUCCCUGGCCUAGAGCUUGAACGACAGUGUUACAUAGGAAAUCUUAGUUCACGUUUUUCAAGAGUUUUAUUUGGCCAGUACUACCUAAUUAUCUCCUACUAUAAAUACCCAAGCCCUAACACAUUUUGUAGGUGGUUGUUCAUUAUAUUACUUCUUCAUAACAUCAUUCCAAGAUCCAAGAGCAUAUUCAAGCAAUGAGAUUAAUUCUUUGAUUCUUGAGAUCAAUCAUCAAAUUCUCAUAAUCCAAAAUACCAAAUUCCUAUACACAUACCUGAAGAUAUUUUCUCAAUAGCUUUUAGAGGUUUCUAAAAAUUGAGGGAGGUUGGACUAGAAGCACACAAAGAAUACAAGAAGGUGUUCUAUGUGAUCCACAAGAGAUAGACAAUUCUACAAGACCGAGAAUAAUUGUGAGUGGAGCAUAUUUUAGUGGGUCUUGGGGACUAGAGGAACUCGAUCGACGAGUUUAGUGAAUUUUCUAGGUUGGAUCAUACUGCAAGUUCAUAUUGUUUGUAAUGGAGGUUACUGGCUUGGUCCAAGAGUUUUUACCCAAUAAAGUUUCCUCCGUUAAUUAUUUUGUGUUGUUUAUUGCUUUCAUAUUAUUGAUUAUGGCAUUCAAACCAUAGGAUAAUCUGACGUGGUUGAUUAACCAUCUAGAAACAAUUAAAAAGUGACUCGUUGCUUUUAAUUAUAUAAUUAUGCACGUUGGGUCAAAAUAAAUUCACUAAAUCUAAACUUUCAAGUGGUGUAAGAACUUUUCAAGUGGUAUCAGAGCCCAAAUUCGAUUCCUAAUACUAGUUUUUCUAGAUGAGUAGUUCAUUAUCUGUCUCGUCAUAUUUUGGCUAAGCUAGUGAAUAACUGGAUGGCCCCUUCUGGCACCGUUAAUGGUGUCAUCACCCCACUCCCAUUCUUAAUUGGUUAAAAUCUAAUUUAGAUGCGUUACAUGCUUUAUUUAUGGCAGUGUCCCCCGAAAAAUUUAAGCGAGUAUCCAUGUGUAAGGUUGGGGUAUUUUAUAGACCAUACAUGAGGAAACUUAGGUAGUUAAGAACUCCAAGUUACAUAUGUUGACCACUAGAUUUGAACACAUUAGGAUGAAAGAGAAAGAGAAUUUGAUGACUUUUAUGCGAGCUUAAGUGACAUAGUUAAUUAUAAUUUCAACCUAUAUGAGAGAAUUUGUGAGCCCAAGAUUGUCAAAGAAAUCCUUAGAUCAUUACCCGAAAGAUUUAGGCCUAAAAUCACAGAUAUAGGGAAGAGAAAGGACAUGGAUGCUAUUAAAGUUGAAGAGUAGGUUGGAUCUCUCUAGACUUAUGAAGUAACAAAUAUUUGGCCUUUAAGACUAUUAGGUAUAACUGUAAUGAGUCUUCUGAUUUGGAGUCACCUAAUGAUGAGGAGAAGCUUAUUUUGCUAAGAAAUUUUGGGAAAUAUUUAGAAUAAGCAAACGCCUCAAGAGAGACAUAUAAGUGCUUCUAGUAAGUCUAGAAAGAGAUCUCAAAUUGUGAGAUGUUAUAAGUGUCAAGGUUUUAGCUAUUAUAGGAGUGAGUGUCCUAACAGUAAGUUUAAUAAGGAUGAAGCUAUGAAUGUUACUCUUACUGAUAAUGAGUCUAACUCGUAUAAUCAAAAUAAAAGGUCCACUCAGGAUGUGAAAAGGAAAUAUAUGGCCUUCACUACUAGGAAUAAGAGUGGAUUUGAUCAGGAGAGUGAGAAGUUUGACGAUGUAGAUAGUAGUGGGCAAUUUGAGAAGGAUUCCAAAGAUGAGGAAGAUAUACAUGAGGCUUAUGAUAAAUAAUAUAACGAGAGCCUUAAGAUAUUGACUGCCAAUAAAUCCUUAUAUGAAGGUCAAAGAUCUUGAGUUAGAGAAAGAAAAACUAAUAGCUGACCCUUAGCAAUCUAUCUUAUACUUUAGUAAGUUGAACUCUAUGAAUAAAUCUUUAGAUACUCAGGUUAAGAAUCUUAAGAGUAGACUUGAUGAGUCCUCUGGGAGACUUAGUGAGUUGAGCGUCAUGAAUGACUGUUUAGAAAAUAUGGUUAAGACCUUAUGAGCGAUCUUGAGGAUUCCAACACCUUGCAUUCUCUAGUGAUUUAUUGGAGCUUGAUAGCAUCUUAGGGAUGAGCAAGCCUACUGGUAAUAACAGAGGUCUAGGAUAUAAGGAGAAUAAUCACAAUGCUGCUAGUAUUUCCCAUACCAUUUUUGUCCUUGCCACUGACCACCGUAAGCAUGUUCCUAACCCUAAACCCAAGAAUAAGGGAAUCGUAGGAUAGAGGCCUAUUAGAAAGCACAAGACUUACAAAACUAGGAACAAAAAUCAACGAUCACAUAACCUUGGUCCUAGGCUUAUCCCUAUUUGUUUCAGUUGUUGUGAGUUAAGAUAUAUAAGGCAUAGGUGUCAUUAAUUUUUGAAAAAAAAAAUAGAAAUUAGAACUUCAAUCAAAAUAAAAUUCAGGAUUUUGAUAGUCAGAUUGACUUCCUCACUACUUGAGUCAAUUGACCGAGUUAAUGACAUAGUUGACCAUGGUUAUUUCUUUCACUGAGCAAGUUUAGGUGAGAAAAAUGAUAAAAAAAUCUUGAAAUAGAUCACGGUGCUCUUAAAGGUAAGAGCGUUUGCAAAUUCAUUAGGUUUGAAUUGGCAUAUGUAUUUUUUUUUUUUUUUUGUGUUGAAUAUUUUUUAUUUUAUGCGAUUGGAGCAUUCAUUAAAAAAAAGGUAAAGUUUUUUAAAUUAUAGCAUGAUAUAUGGUAUACUUGAACUUGUGGAUGAGUUUAAUAAAUGUGUUGUAGCAUACUUUCCAUUACUUAGGUUUUUAUGGAGUACUUAAUAUAUGUUUCUUUUUUGUACCAUCUGCACUGCACACACUAUAAUAUUGUGAGUGGGACUUGACCACAUAUAUGAGAUUUGAGAUGGUAGUCACAUAUUGGAAAGGUGACUUUGAGCAUGAAUUAACCUUAUUUUAGCAGACCUCGACUUAAGUAUAUUUUCUUAAAAGAAAAAGCUCAAUAUCUUAUGCUCUUGUUUGGAGCAUAUUUGACUCGAACAAUUAAGCUCAAGGGUUUUCCCAUAACUUAGUGCCUAUAGUAAACUAAUUUGGGUUAAUCGACCUAAAGCUCGUUGCUUGGAGGGUCAUCUUAUUUACCUAAUGGAGAAGAACAUGCACAUAAGAUGUGAAAAUGAUGAGAAUUUAGAAAAUGUGUAUAUGUAUAUAUACACACACCAUUAAUGGCUUGACUUGUCAAAAGUAGAGGAAUAAGCUUCUUGAUGUCCUUUCUAAUAAAAUUAAAGUUUGGAGUCCUGCCUACAAAUGAUUAGUGAUACUAUACCAACAUAGAUGACUUAUAUAAUUUACUCCAUUUUAACUUGAACUAAUUAUGUAUAAAAGUUUACAAAUAAUUAAUUAUAUUUAUACAUACUAUCAACUGCAUCUUUGAGUUAUUAUAUGCUUUUAUUUAUGCAUAUUUGAUAUACUUCCCUUAGUCAUCUAGGACAAAAUAGGGGGGAAAGAGAUUUUAUUGUAAUUUUGAGUUGAGAGUUAACUGCAUUCUGGAGAGAUUUUGUGGUGAAGGAAAGAGAUGAUACUAUCUUUCAUUCAUGGCAUUCCAUAUAAUGCAUAGCUUGUUUGAGUUUCGAUGUAUGGUGAUAUUAAUGUAUCAAUUAGUAUUUUGAUUAACAUUAGUAUACUUCUCAAUCUAGCUAGCAUAUUUUUGAUAGUAGAUUUUAAUUGUUAUAUUUUCUGUAUCAUGUGCUUUUACACUUGAUAUGUGAAUUGUUGGUUUCAGGAAACGGGUUAGCAAGGAAUGCAAGAAAAGAACAUUCAGUUUGGAUUUGGGUUGAUUAAUUUUUAUUUUUAUUUUCUUGAUUUGUAUUGUACAGUUUUGUUACAAAAUGCCAAAGGAGUAGAUUGUUAAGAUUUAUGUUGUAUUUGGAAUUUUGUAGAAAAAAUCAAGUCCUGGUUAAAUUGUAUUAGGAAUUUAUUGAGUCGUGAUGUCAAAAUAUGAAUUACUGAGUUCUAAUUAAAGUCAAAAGAGUUGGGAUUUGUUGUAUAGUCCUUAAAGGAGUCCAAAAUAUCCAAGAACAUCAUAUAUGAUCAAAGAAAUGCAAUUACAAGUCUAAAGAGUAUCGAAGAGCCACAUAAGUUACAUUUCAAAUUCUCAAUCGUAACUUGCAACGCAUUUUUUAUAUGGAAAAAUAUUGAAAUUUGGACAAAGAUAGAAGAAUUGUAAUUGUUUGAGUUAGCUUUCCAACGCAUUUUGAAUCACAUCAAUCAGACAUCGACAAAAAAAAGUUAUGAUAAAAAUACUGAUAAUUGAUAAGUAGUUGCUUGUCUGUUGCUGGCCUAGAACUCGAACGACCGUGAUAAGUGUGAAACCCUAGUUCACAUUUUUCAAGAGUUUUAUCUAGCCCAUACUAAAAUAUUUCCUAUUUUAAAUACUUAAGCCCUAACAUGUUUUGUAUGUGGUUGUUCAUUAUAUUACUUCCUCAUAACAUCAUUCCAAGAUCCAAGAAGACAUUUAAGCAUUGAGAUUAAUUUUUUGAUUCUUGAGAUCAUUCAACCACAACUGUUGAAAAACAUAAAACUCAAGUAAUCCAAAGUACCCACUUCCAAUACACAUACAGGAAUAUAGUUUUUCAAUAGCUUUCAAAUGUUACUGAAGAUUGAGAGAAAUUAGACCAAAAGCAUAGAUGAUUCAAAGUAGAUAGACAAUUCUAGAAGAUCAGGAAACAUGUGUGAGUAAAAAAUGUUCCAGUAGGUUUUGGAGGUUACACGAAUUGGAUCAACGAAUCUAGUAAAUUUUUUAGACUGAAUCAUACUGUAAGUUCAUAUUAUCUAUAGUGAAGGUCACUGGCUUGAUCCAAAGUUUGUACCCAGUUGGUUUUUCUCCAUCAACAUAUUUUGUAUUGUUUAUUGCUUUCAUAUUAUUGCUUGUGACGUUCAAACCAUUUAAUAAUAUGACAUGAUUGUUUAAUCAUCUAGAAACAAUUAAAAGUGACUUGUUACUUUUAAUUUUAUGAAUUCGCUUUUAACAGUGUGUUUUCUAUUCUGAUUGUGAUGAAUAUAUACAAUACAGUAUAGAUAGAUCCUUGUUAAAAACUCCAAGCUUUCACACAAUUUCAAAUAAAUGCUUAGUCUUUUUAAGAUAGCGACUUAUAGUACAAAAUUCUUAAGGUCAUGAAAUUAAUUUGUAGAAAGAGUAAAAAUACACUGACAAUAUCAAAAGAUGACACAAAACCAUUUAAAUGAGAACAGCGUCAUUUAAAAGCUUUACACCCUUGCCUAGGAUUCAAUCCAGAUUCUUAACGGUUUGACACAUUGGCAAAUUUAGUUAAUCACCUCUUUGUUUUCUCCCUUCAAAACAGAACUCUUUAAUUCUUAUACUCAUUUUCUACCAUACAUUCCUACAACAAAAUAUUUUGUAUAUAAAUUUAAAACUUUUCUUACUUUUUAAAUUCUCCAAAAACUAAAUAUUCGACACAUCAUCCCCCCCCCCCCCCCCCCCCCCCUUCCCCCUUGAUAAUGGCCAUCAAACAGGGGCAGAUGAGCCGUAUUGAAACUUGAACCUAAAUAUGGUCCAAAAUAAUUUAGUUCAUAUAAAGACGUGCAUUUAUUUAAAUGUUGUGUUCACCAACUAAAAAUGAUGAGAUUUGAUAAAUGUCUUAUAAUAAAAUUAAUACGGAUAAAAGGAUAAAAUCAUAUAUUGUUUAAAAUGGGAGUCAUCUAGUUAUAAAUUAAACGUCUUAGCCAUAUUUCAUAAUUACUGGCUUCACCAACUUUUAAUUCAAAAUAUAUGUCCGAUGCUUAACCUCGAAAUGGACAUUAAGUCCAAAAAUAUAAUUUUUGAACGCCAUUUGAAAUCAAAAGUCAGAAGCAAGUGUUUUAAUUAUAAUUAGGAAAGUAGGUGUGUGUCAUGGACGUGUUUUUCUUUUCUUGGAAAGGGCCUACUUUUGAACUGUCGUGUCAUAUUGGCACAAGCCGGUGCACAAUAAGUCGUGGGUUCCACAAUUAAACUGUUAAAUUUUGUUCCCUACUAAGCCCUUAUUUGAGUCCCAAUCUUUGGGGAUAAUAUAUUUCCAAAUAUUGAUUUUUGAAAGAAAUGUAAUUAGUCCGCUUGCACUUCAUCUACCACCCAUUAAAAUCCAUUAAAUGAUUUAUUAAUGUUAGAAGUUAUGUUCGUUAAAAAAAAUUACACCUCAACCAAACCAAUAUUUCAUUACUCACACAACUUAUACUUGGUCACGGUUUACUCAUCGAACUUCAUUCCUUUCCUUUCGUUGUUGACGUAUUGCAUGAAAAUCUUACGUAUCAAAUUACGAUCCUUAAAAAAAAUUAUAACUCAACUAAACUAGCUAUCAACUCACAAAAAUCAUCAUAUGUGAUGUGCGAUUUCUAUGACUCUAUAAACUUCUUUAAAUCCUGAUAAUACAUCCCCAUUUUUAGCUCCAAAAAACUCUAGCCCAUUCACUCUUUUCAUUCAUGUACAGCUACAUUGCAUAUUGAGAUAAAGCCGAUGUUGAGAAUGAUGCGAGAAACUAUUUCUUAUAAAGCUCUAUCCCUACAGAUGGCAAAAUAACCUGUCCCGCCCCAUAUAAAAUAAUAAUAAUAAUAAUAAAAUUGGAUUAGUCUUUCUUUAUUUAUUAGUUAUUCUCUUGUAUCCUUUUGUAUUCACAUUUUUCUAUUUCAUAAAAAAUUCAAAGGAUUGAAAUUCCAAUGAAAUUCUACUCAUUAUUUUCCUAUGUUAUAUGAGAAUUACAAGAACAAGUAUAUUACAUGAGAGAAUUUUAAGAAUGAUACUUCUUGGUUCAAAUUUGACUGAAAGCAAAUGAACUCUGCACUACACAGCUUUAAAGAUUGGUUACGGAAUCCUACUGCAGUCCCAUAAAUAGUUUUCGAUGAGAAUAUAAAUUUUUUAAAUUCUGGUAAAAAAGAAAAAUUAAUAUUUAAUAAAGCAAUCGCUAAAAAUAAUUAUUAUCUUUUUUCUGAUCUCGUUUUUCCAAAAUUGUUCAAAAAUUGGUCAGAGCCAAAUUACUCAUGCUACACUGGGAAAACUGAGUCUUAAGAUUAGAAUUCUUAAAAACAUGAUUGCAAACCUUGUUACUGUUGAUGUAGUUUAUGCCAUUCUUUUCAACACAAUAAGAAUCAUUGCAAACCUUGUUACUGUUGCUGUAGUUUAUGACACAAAAGGAUUUUAAAAUUUUGAAUUUAUAUUUUAUUUUCUAAUAAUAGCAUAACAACACAAAAGGUUUGGGAUUUGAAAAACUUGAGGAAUGGAAUAGUAAAAAAAUGUUUUUAAUUUCCCCAAUUAAGGAACAAAUGAUAUUUUAUUUAAUUAAGGCUGAAUUCAUAUUUUCACUGGAAUCGAGUAUUAGGUGCAAUUUCAGUUUUGUUUAGCGAUUAUGUUUUUGUCAAAAUUUUCAAUUAAAGCUAAAUUUAUAUUUUCUUUGGAGUUGAAGAAUAGGUGCAAUUUCAAAUUUGUUUAGUGAUUAUGUUUUAUCCAAUUUUACAGUUAAGGCAGAAUUUAUAUUUUCUUUGGAGACUAGGAAUAGGUGCAAUUUUAAUUUUGUUUAGUGAUUUAUGUUUUGUCCAAUUUUUCAAUCCAACUGGUCUUCAUUAGAAUUGACGAUUUUUCCAUUACCAUAGGUUUAACAAUCCGACAUCUAUGCUCAACCUGUUAAUUUACGUACUAUACACUAUGGGAGAGAAUUAUCUUAGUAUUUUACCUCUCACGAAUUUGUGUGGUGUCCCUAGGAUUCCAACCCAAGACCUCUGUCUUAUGAGAGAUUUAAAUUGAAACAUGAUAUCAAUUGAACAGCUGGCUUAGACUAUUCCAGAGCGGAUGAUAUAUAAGAGAACGGUCAAGCACGAGCUUCUGGUUAUUAAAAAAAAUGCAUAUUCAACUUAAGUCUCUCAAAAGAUGCCUUCUCAAAGUAAACCGUACAUACUAUUCUAAUAGUUUGGCACGAGUUAUAGAUCAUUACAUAAAGUGUAUGUUUUUUUGUGAAGAUAUAUGCAGAAGUCUUCAAAACAAUGGUUUCUAUUCUUUUGUUGAAUCUGAGUUCUUCAUGCCAUGAAGACCAACCAAGUCGAACUAAAGCUCCACAACCCCUUCUUCCCGUUCAACCCUUCUAGUCUUGGCUUUGCUUUCAAUACUUCUAGAGUGCACGACUUCGUCUCGUAAGCCAUUUCUUCAUCAUACAAUAUGGACUAAGGCUAGGUUUUAUAGAGACAAUCCUUUUAUUCAUAGUACUUGUCCAACGAGCAAAAAGCUUUCAAAAUAGCCCUUUGAAUGAAAAGUAUUCUUUUUCGAUCUUGUACCUGGUAUACUUAACACCUACUAAAUCUUGAUAAAUAAAGAAGGGAUUUAUCCCAUCUUAUAGUGCUAGAAAAAGAAGGAAGAGUUCAUUUUUCGAUGCCAGGAUUUCUCUUUCUCUGAUGAAAUUUCAAAAGGAUCACUCGUAUAAGCAAGAGUUAUCUUAUAUACUAUACAAUUAAGAAGCCGCUAGAGGUGCCGUUGAGAAUUGCUUCAUUGUGCCUGCUUUGAUCUUGCCUUAAAGUAGAUUCGGGUGUUGGUGCGCUCUUAUUAGCUCUAACUUGGCUCCAUAUCAAUCACUUAUUUCCAUUUCGAUUUUUUUUAUCGCACGAGCUAGUAAGGAGGUAGCAUAAGUGUAUCUUGCUUCUAGAAGAUUUUAUAGUGAUGCACUGGAAUCAACCUUGAAUAACGCCUCUCUGCUAGGAGAAUUCCUUGAUAUAUUGUAAAUUAAAAGUUAGUUCUACCACUCAAUCAAACAUAUUAGUAAUCAUUCCUUUCAGUUUAAAGAAAUCAGGGGCAACAUAUUAGAGCCUAGUCAAUGAAGUUUAGAGAAUCGUUGAUGACGUGGUCAUUAAGAGUUUAAGCCUGACAUGUGACUUCCUCAUUGGAUAGGUUACCACAUGGAGAUAUUGAAAAAUUUCAAGAAUUUUUUUAAAGAGGUUUUAAGGCACUAAAUGAACGGUCCAAGUAAACAUGAGUAAGAAAAUUGGUAAAGGAGAAUGAAAAAGGACUUCAUUUAUAGUCCUAAAUCAAGAAGAUAUCAUAUGUAUUCGGGAUAAGCGAAGCCGAUGGGAUAAAUGAAAAAGAAUUCUAACUUAAGUGAUUGACAGGCACGAAAGAAAGGAAGGGGUAUGGGGGGGUAGGUUUUGUUUGACGCCUCUACUUCUACCUUUUACAAAAUAUAUAUAUAGAGAUAAAAGAUUAUUGCAGAGUAACACUUUCCAUGAUCUGGAAACCUCAUCUUAUUACACUUGAUAGAUCUAAAGGAAAAAUUUAAGCUGAUGACUAUAAAGAAGAACUUAACGGAAUGCAACACAUUCUCCAUCCCUCAUAUUGAAUUUUGAAUUCCCAGUGUAGUUGUUUUUCUUUAUUAAAUUGAAUUUAUCCAGUAGUUUGUCAUCCUAAAAAUAACUUAUUCGUGAUUAUUUUAUUGGAUGCAUGCCAUAGAAAUGAAUUAUAAUAUAACAUGGGGAGUAUUUCUAUUGGGAAGUGCUACAUGUCCAUAAUUAUCUACAUAAUGUUGUUUAUAAUUACACAUGGCACUGGAUCUAACUUUUAAUUCAAAUAUCACAUUGCACAUCAACAAUCAAAUGAUUGCCACAUUAUAUUAUGGACACCAUUAUGUGCAAUAAUUAUAUACAAGUAGAAUUUUCCAUUUCUAUUUUUAUUAUUACACUUAGACAAUGUAUAUCUCAGUUUUGGUGUAUAGUUGACUUGUGAGUCAUCUCUUUGUGUUUUUUGCAUGCCUUUAUUGCUUUGAAAUUUUUUAUAAACUGAAACUUUCAAAAAAAAUUGAAAAAAAGGAAAGUUCAAAGAUACUUUUUGUAUUAUGUAGUUGGAUAACACUGAUCACAUAUCUGUAGGUAAUUUCUAUUAAAAUUUGAGGUCCAUCUUAAUAAGGUCAACCAUUUUAAGAGGAGUAGUCCAAGAUCUUUUAAGUUAGUCAAUAUUUUGGUAUUUAACCGAUGUGAGAUUUUUAUCCCUUAACAUGCCCUUGUAAGAUGGUGACUGCUUUGAACAGACCAAUCUUGCAAUUCAUUGCUCAUUAAUUAAGACUAUAAUUGAAUCGAAUCGCAAGUUAGAGCUUAAUGGACUCUGAUACUAUGUUAAGAUUUGGAAUUCAUCUUAAUAAGGUCAAUAUUUUUAAGAGAAGUAGUCCAAGAUUUUUUUAAGUUGAUUAAUAUUUCAGUAUUUAACCGAUAUGAGAUUUUUAUCCCUUAACAAUUUUGUCUUAUUAAUCGACACAUGUUCAUUGCCGCUAGAAGCUUUGAGUGUUUUAUUGUUUAUAAAUAUCAUCGGUUGAAAUGCCAUUUGUUAAUAUCGUCAGAAUUUUCAUUACUACUAAUUUGUUCAAUGGAUUUUUUUAUCAUUAAUUUCUUGAAAAGCUUCUACCAUAUUAAAUAUUAUUUCGACAAAAUUAUCUAUGUCAUUAAAUAAGAAUGAAAAUGUAAUUGAGUGAGUUUUUCACGAUUGAAAAGCAUAUUUUAAUUUUUUUCAAAAGAGGUUGUGAGGCAAUAUAUUCAAAGCCUGAGGGUGUAGAAUACUUCGACUAUAAUUGGCAACGAUGGGUUCUCUUCAAUCACUACUAGAAAAUGCGGCUUCAUCGAUGGAUAUUUACGUCGCUAAAGGCUAUUAUUCCUUCAGUAACCCUACUAGUCGAUGGAAAUUUCCUGUGGACACAAACCGUCAGUGAAAGUGGGCGUUGGUAAUUUUUCGGACGGAAACAUAGCCAUCAAUGAUUAUUGACGAGGACCUAUACACAAAUCAGUUGGAAAUACCUACGAAUUUUCCAGCAACAAUUUUAGCGAUUGCUUAGUAUAAUGGAAAUUACCGACGAAAUUGUCGAUACUAUUUCCAUGGAUAAGUUCCUACAAAUUUUCCUACGAAAUUAAUUCCAUUGCUACUUUCCAUUCCUAAUUUUAUGAGAAAAAUUCAACAAAAUACUAUGGUGGACAAACGAUAAUGACAACAGGCGAUCACAAUUUUAACUUUAUCAGAUUAGGAUUAGAUUUUUAUCUAUAUCUUGUACUAACGAAGAAGUAAUGACAAAGUCAUUUUAUUCCGUAAACAACACUAAUGGCAUCUAAUGUUACAUCACCAUUUCAUCAACCCACCACUUUUACCAUUCAUUGUCACACCAUCACUAUUGAGUCCACCACCUAUAACAUUCAUUGCAGUAUAGAGGGUGUUUGGUAGGAAUUUUUAUGUGAAAAUGCAUUUUUGAAUAGUAAAUUGAUGAAAAAUGUGUGAUUGAAAAAUAAAAAAAAGUUUUUGAUUUACGUGUAAUAUUAUUUUAAUAAAGAAUGUGUGGUUGAAAAGAAGAGAGAGAAAAAUGCAUUUUGAUAAAAAUGGGUGCCAAACGGGGCCAUAAUCGUUGUAGCAUUUAUUGUUGCACUUUGGAAUUCUCAAUUUUGAAUUUUGAAUUUGUAUCAAAUCAAAAUUCUGAGUUCAAAAUUGUCAAAGUUUAUUCCAACUUUAUGAAUUUUUAGAAAAUAAAAUAUAUUUACAAAAUAGAAAUUCAUUGUUAACCAUAAAAUUUACGUAUAAAGGACAUUACAUUUUCCCACAAUAUUUAUUUAUCAUUUUUCGUAUUAUUCCUUUUUUACAAAUUUUAUUUUCCAUAGAAAUUAUUUUUUUAAUGUUUUUUCUGCGGAUAAUAUAUUAUCAGAAUACAUUUUUCAUUUUGCAAUAUAAUACUGACGGAAUAAAGUAUUUACCAACGGAUUGUUUUUGUUGGAACUUUUAUUUAUUUUUCUAAAUUUUAUAGUUACUGAUGGAAUCAUUUAUUUUAAGAUUCGUCAGAAAAUAUUAAUUGAUUAAUUAGUUGUAUCAAUUAAUCAAGAAUUUUUUUGACCAUUCGUUGGUACUAAAAUAUUCUUUAUCGCAAAAUAAUUUUAAAAAACUUAUUGUUAAUCUAAUCGCUAUUAGCGACGAAGAUUGACUAUCGGUAACUUUUCAUCACUGAAGCUACACUAUCUAGUAGUGUAACUGCAACUUUAAUUUUCAAAAAUCAUAGCCUUAGUAUUAUUGAUUUUCUUAGUACUAUUGAUUUUUUAAUUAAGUAAAAAUCGUUGUCUAUUCAACCAUGAAUUUUAUCUUUUGCAACAAUUUUCUGAAAAAACCAUUAAAACCAUGUGGGAUUUCUCUCACUAACGACAGUUUUUACAAAAGUCGCUGUCAUUUAAGUGUUGUAUUUUAACAGUUUUUUAAUUAUUAUUAUUUUUUAAUAGUGCGGUAAUUCUAAAAUGUACAUCAGGAAGCACUAUAUUACCAAUUCAACACUUUUUCCCCCCAAUCAUGCCCUGAUCAAUACUCCAAUUUCAAUAUUAGAAGGUACUUUUGCAAGAGUUUUCAGAGAUUGCACAAGAUUGAAGGAGGCUGGAUCAAAAGCACAAGAAAAGCACAAAAAUAAGGUGUUCUUGGUAAUCCACAGGAGAUGGACAAUUUGAGAAGAUUGGGAGUAAGUUUUAGUGAAAGCAUGUUUUAACGAGUCUUGGAGAUUGCAGGAAAUAGACCAACGAGUCUAGUGAAUUUUCUAGGCUAAAUCAUACUAUAAGUCAACCUCGUGGAUACAAUACGAUGUAGUUCAAUUUCAAGAACAAAACUAAGUUUCCAAACAAUGCUUAAAAUUUAAAACAGAAACAAACCCACUUAAAAUGAUUGAUUGAAAACCCUUGUGGCAAACAAAUCGGAGACGGCUCAACACUCGAGCGAGCAAGGCAGUUGCUUCAGUCCUUUAUAUUUUAAAAACUUACAAAUUUGGCUAAUUUUUCUAUUCUUUGAAAAGCUCCCGGCCUAAUUACUUGAAUAGCAUGGAAGUAGGAACCUGAAGUGAGGGAAAGAGCAUCAUUCUAGUGAUAAAAGUCACUAUAGGUACAUAAUUUAAAAUUGUAGUAAUAACUUGUAUUGUUCAACAAUUCUAUAAUUUUUACGUCCAUAAAAAAGAAGAUAUUUCCUUGAACCACCAUAAACCUUAGCCAUUAAUUAAAAAAAAAAAAAAAAGAACAUAUAACUAAAAUUACAAUCAAAAGUUCCAAAAUUUUCAUAAAUAUAAAAGAACUAACGAAAAUAACAAAAAGAAGAAUAAAAAAUACUCAAACUUUUUCGAGGAGGUACUAGAAGCUUUAUCGACACGGCCUCAUCUCUGCCAUGCUUAUUACUUGCAAAUCAACAACAGAAUCACCUCUCAAAGUACAACAAUAUAAAACCCAACGCACAACAAAUUAGAACGGGCUGCUGUGGGUAUGUCUUGGAUGCUCCCCAUCCAUGUAAAAGAAAUAAGAGAAUGAAUCAUGGGGUAAUUUUGAGUUUGCGUUUGAAAAUGGAUGAGGUUAUGGAAGUUUUGAGUUUGCAUUUGAAAAUGGAUGAGGUGAUGGUUAUGUGUGGAAGGAAAAAAGCGUAUGAAAACAGACAGGGGGCGGGGGGGGGGGGGGGGAUGUUGAUGGUGAUCAGAGGUUAACACGUGUCCUCACCUCUUUUAUAUAUUACUAGACAGAUAUCAAGAAAAUGAAAGAGAAAAUAAAAGAAAAUCAAUGAAAAAAAAAAAGAGCGAGAGAGAGAGAGAAGAAAAAAGAAAAAAAAAAGGAAGAAGACAGAAUGCAACUGAGGCUGCCGAUUUUUUAUUUAAUAACCUAGCGAAAUUGCAACACAAGUCCUCAAAUUUUGAAAAAGAAAUUAAAACGAUCCCUUAGUUUUUGAACUCUCAACGCCUAGGCAUCUCUUCUCUACCAAAACAGAACAAGAAUAGGGAACAUUUUUGUAGUCGAAUCCCCUAGAUAAUUGCACGUUAGGUCCCUCAACCUUAAUUUUGCAUAAUUUGGGCCUCAAAAAUUCAACUUUUGUAUUAAUUUUCCCCUCCAAAAUUGCAACCCAAGUCCUCCAACUUUUGAUCCUUGUGAAUUUGGUCCCCAACUUCAUGUUAUUGUACGCUUUCGGUCCAUUCUCCUCUAUAUAUAUCCAUUUGGGGUUUAUGACCAACAAAAGCCAAAAUUACAUAAUUGUGAGUCGAUAUCUGCUUUUUUCAUCAAUAAUAAGCAUAUUUAGACAUUAAAUAAGUGCACAAAAAUAUAUACUUACUAUAUUGCAUUAAAGUCAAGAUAGGCUUCAAUUCCCAAUGAGAUAGGGAAAAGGUUCUCCUAUCCAUUGUAGAAGAUAUGUAUGAGCAUGAGAAGGCAUUUGACGAGUUAGAGGUGGUAUAUUUUAGCUGCAAAGAAAGUAUGGCAUGUUGACCAGAACUUAGGUCAAAGUUGCGACCUAUCUCCUAAGGUCAUUAAAUACCUCCAAAUUAUUAGAGGUUGAGGUACUAGUAAUGUAGGAGAGAGUUCAUCUUGCAAGUCAACUAGGUCUCGUUGGUUAUCAUAGUGGCUCGAAGCGAGAGUGAUUUUUCACUAGUGAAGAAAUCUAGGUACAUGAGCAUCAGUGGGGUUCUUGGAAGAGAAGACAGAUACAUUAUGUCCUAGUCAUGUAUCUACCAUGACAUCUAAUAGCAAGUUCUAUAGGUGGCAUCAAUGAUGCAACAAAAAUUGUACCUAGAGAGACUCAGUUUUGUGUUGGGAAAACACGAAAGAUUAGUACAAUAAGACCAUCGAACAAUCUACCAAAAGAGGCUAGUGAAGAUUUGUUU